Molecule: long non-coding RNA, 76503 nt
Filed under: Gossypium barbadense (sea-island cotton)
Lineage: Eukaryota; Viridiplantae; Streptophyta; Magnoliopsida; Malvales; Malvaceae
Description: long non-coding RNA (GBAR_LNC002601)
Source: RNAcentral
AAAAAAAAAAAAAGAAAGAAAAAAGAGUAAAGCAAAGUAAAGCACAGUAGAAUUUACCUUGAAGAGGAGGGAACCAAAUGAAGCUGGCUGAGGCAGGUAGUUGGUUGGUUGUAUAUUAUGAUAUAAUAUAUAUAAUUCUAUGUACUGAUAAUUAGAAAGUAGCUACAAAGGUGAAACACCAUGAAGAAGAGGAAGAAAAGGAAGGACAAAUUGUCUGAGUACAAGAAACAAACAAAGAUAUCUGAAAAAUGACAAUCUGCAAUCUCAUUCUCAACCACAGGACUAGAGAAGUAGAGAUUUUGAUUUCUUCUUUCCAAUUAUUUUAUUCAGAAAUACAUGUCAUGGAUUAGUAAAUUAGAUCAAAUUUAAUUAAAUAUAUAAAUGGAAGUCUGAGGUUGGAUCACUCUGUUAGGCAACUAUCCUUUUUCUUUUCUUUUUUUCUAAGACAUUUCAAUAUUUAGUAAUCAGUUCUGUUUUUAAUUAAUAUUUAAAAAUAGAUAAUAAAUGUAGCACAUGAAGAUUUCUUAAAUCAUUUAUCAACUUAAAAAACGAAAAUUUCAUAUAAGUAAAAAUUAAUUAAUUUUACAUUAAUUUAUGUUAAUUUUAUUAAAAUUAACUAUUUUAAUAAACUACUAAGCGCAGGGAUAAAAUAUAUUACACCCUUAAUAAAAAAAUAAAAAAUUUAAAAUUUAAAAAUGACAGUAUUAAAGAGAAAUAACCGUAAACUUCCAACAUAAACAUUAAAAUUAAACUAAAACUUUUAGAAAAUAUUUUAAUAAAUUCACAAACCAAAUCACUCAUUCCCAUAUAAUUGUUUACUAAUUUACAACCAAAAAAAUAAUUGUUUACUAAAUCUUUUCAUCUACAUUUUAUCAAUAAAUAUGUAAUAUUAUUUAUUUAUUUUAUCAAUAUUUUUUUUUGAAAAUAACUAUUAGUUAAAAUUUUUUAUGUUAUUUUUUUUCCCUCACAUAAUGGAUGUUUUAUGAAUUAAUCAUAAUUAAAAAUUAAAUUAAAUUAUUAAAAUAAUAAUUUUUAUAUUUUAAUGUAUCAUAUAUUAAUUUUUAUGAAUUAAAUUCAUAAUUAAUGUCAACUAAAGAUUUAAUAUUAAGUCAUCCGUCACUUCACUUAUAGUGUAGUCGACUAACAUAUUAUAGUAUUAAUAAAAUCAUAUAAUUAGGCAUAAUGAGAGUGAUUUUUUUCAAUUUUAUUAAAAGAAACUACUUAAAAAUUAUAUAAUAUAUGAGUUUAAAAAUGUGUUAAUUUUUUAUGAAAAAAUAAUAUAAAAAAAUAAUAUAAAAAAGUUUUUUUUUCAUAUUUAAAUUUAAGAUUCAAUGUGAAUAAAGAAGCUUAAACAACAUAAGAUAUAGUACAUUAGUGAAUAAUUCGCAUUUUAAUAAAAAAAAUUAUAGUUAACAUAUAUAAUUUAUCAUGAUAAAAUAAUAAAAUAAAUAAUAUAGGAAUGUAAAAACAUUAAAUAUUAAUCAUUCUAUACUUGAAAUAAAAAACAAAUUAUUAAGAGGGAGGCCAUCGCUACAACUCUCAAGGAUAUGUACAUUUUCCCUAUGAAGGAAAACAUGUAAAAAAAAAUCAGCAGUAUUUUAUAUUGUGAUAGUGUAACUUGUGUUAAUCGCAUACAUUGUAGUUAUCUUAGAAGAAAAUUGAUGAGUAAUUAAAGAAGGGUCAAAACAGGUUCGAUGUCGGGAUAAGAGGGUCCUAAAAAUUAGGACGACGCGACAGUUUUUGGCAAUGGACGUGGCGACAACGUCGUGGCGAGGAGAGCCUACAUGUCACAAAGAUUAUUGAUGUUAUGCAGUCACGUUUUGUACAGUUUAAUAAGACUUUUUUUCCUAGUUGGACUCUAAUUAUUUCAGAAUUAUUUUAGUAUAAUUAGACCUCUAAUCUAUUUAAAGGGCCUCUGUAACUCUGAUUUAAACAUGUCAAUCAGUAAGGGUUUUUUUAGGGAGAUAAUAUCUAGUCGCGUAUGAAUUUUGGUGAAAGUUUCGUGGUAGCUAUAGAGAGAAUUUUGUUCCUGAGUUAGAAUUUUGCUUUCGAGGUUUGAGAUUGUACAUUUAGUAUUUUUAGAUUUAUUUUCUUCCUAUUAUAUUUUUGUUUGUUUACUCAUUUAGUUAAAAGCUGAUAAAUCAUUUACCCAUGAUUUUUUUCUCUUUAAUAGUUUUUUGUAUACGAUAUUUGUGUAUUUUUACUUUGUUUAUACAAGUCCAUACUCAACAUACACAUAUUAGGCUUCAAACAAUAAAUUUCAGCUUUAAAUCAACAACUAUGCAAUGCGAUAGCAAAAGGAGGUUGAGUUGAGAGUAUGAGAGCAAAUGAAGAGGAUGACACAGACACUGCCAUUGCCAUUGCCAGACAUGUAAUAAUAAUCAUACCUCUCAUUCUUCUCAGCCUGUUAUGGUUUAAAAUAGAAUUCAAUUGCAGCUCAGCUGAUAGCCCUUGGUUUAAUGAUGUUAAUAUCGUUGCUGUAAAUAUCCAUCUCACUGUUUUUGGGACAUAACAUGACAACCAUCAAGCAAGUUUGCAGUGUAAAAACCAUAACCUUUUUCACAUCGUAAAAGAUGUCUACAUCAAUCUCGAAAUGUAAGGUGAUGAUUGAGGGGGAAAUGAAGUAAAUAAUGCAGUUUCUAGGAAAAUGCUGCGUUUCUUACAUCUAAUAUGGACCAUUAUAUCUUUCUUUUUUCCCAAAGACUGUAUACUCGUACUUCUCAGGCAUUUUCCCAGGAUCCAAACAAACUGUCAUGUUAUCUGGUGAAAUGCUAAUAGAGUUAUGCUGUCUCACUCUUAAUGGCCAGAAGAAACUUCGUUUGACAUGAGUUGGUUUAAUUCUCGUUACAAAAUGCAGAUUUUUGUACAUUACGCUGUUUUUUGAAGUUACAACUUAUGAGUAUAUCAACAAUGAGAACGAUUAAUAAUCCUUGAAAAUCCUUGAAAAAUAGGAUGCCUUGAGAAAUAUAUCAACAAUGAUAAUCCUAAAAGCCGAGAGUCUAAUUUAGGAUACCUAGUAUUAAUAAAUAAGAUUAAGUUAAGUUUUUUUACUAGUAUUAGCUAUUUUUUUUUUACAUAUUAGAAAGAAAUAUUUAAUUUUAUAUAGUUUGAUUUUUUUUUCAUUUUUACAAUUAAAUCGUUCAUGCUUUUUAAAAAACAUUAAAUUGAUUUGUUUGAUAAGAAAAAAAAAGUAUCCGAAAAUAAUUGAUACUUUUUUAAGUUAAAAAAAAAUCAUUCGAAUUUAAAAUUUUCGUCUCUUGGAGUAUUAGAAUUGAGUGAUCCGAAUUCUUAUUUAAAUAAAAUUAAUGGUAAAAUAAAAUAAAAGUAAAAUCCAUAUAAAACUACACUUCCUUUAUUUUAUUUUAGAAUAAGGUUUUUUAAACCUUAUUAAACCCUAUCUAAUUGAUAUUGAUUAGAAUAAGGUGUUUCAAUUUACUACACUCCUAUUAGAAUACAAUUUUACAAGCCUAUAAAUAGACAUAGUGUACUCCUCUUGUAAUCAUUCAAAUUCAACAUAAUGAAUUUUCUUCUCCUCUGCCAGUGGUUUUUUCCAAAAGGGCUUUCACGUAAAAAUUUGCGUGUUGCUUUUUUUUUCUUUCUCUUUUCUUUGUGAUAUAUUGUUAUUACAGACAUUCUAUUUUUUUACAAAUUGGUAUCUGGAUGGGUUGUUCAUCUCAAUCACAAUAAUGAUGUCUUUGAAGUAUGAAAUUCCGCUGUUGGAUCACAACACUAGAUUUGCGUUGUGGCAAAUUAAGAUGCAAGCAGUUCUUGUGUAGAUGGAUCUGGUGUGUAACAUCCUUAUCCCGUAACCGUCGCCAGAAUAGGAGGAGACGUUACCAGAAAUUAGGAAUCGUAUCAGAACAAUAAAAUUUUGAACCUUUUCUUAAAUAAAAGAUCAUUUAUUUAUAUAACUAAUAGACACAAACAAAGAUCGAAUUUAAAACUUCCAUAAGAUGCCAUAUUCGCAUGGCUUAUAUAUAAUAGUCAAAAUAUCAUUCUACUUAUAGUCUAUCCUAUACAUGCCAUAAGCUAAGUCCAAAUCACAUUACCACAAUAGUAGAUAGUGUGAUGAAGUGCUGACGAUCCUCGAGCUAAUAGUAAGAGUCAACGAUCUACAAAAAUAAAUAGAGAAACAUAACAUUAAAAGUAAGCUUUCAUAAGCUUAGUAAGUCUUAAGCAAUUUAAACAGUUGAACUUAAAAAAAAACAAACUAAAUGUUCGAAAUCACAUAACACUUUCUGAGUACAAUACUAUUUGGCCGAUUAUGCAUAAACACAUAUCAUUUUACUCCGUUUAUACUCAAACUCAUAUAAACAUAGUAUUUACAAGCUUCCAGAUUAACUUUAAUUCUUUCAAAUUUCACUAGUGUAUCAUUUCUUACCCACACUUACUUUCAACAUUCAUAGUUAAAUGGCAUAUCGAAAACUAUCUUGUAACUUUGCAUAAUAACUGAAUGCACACAUAUACAAAUAUACAUAUGAAUUUACAACAUCUUUUCAUAUGCUUCUCAUUACACAUUCUUAAUUCCCGUCAGAUCAAUCUCACAUAUAUAAUAUAUAUAUCACAUACCUGAAUCACUUAAUGUGUAAUACGAGUUCAAUUUAUCAUCUUAGCAUAGGAUCUCGUAGUCAUAUACUUUAUCAAAUUCACUAGCACUUGGCCUGCGAGGUAUAAAACCCGAACAUAACACCAGCACGAAGCCUACGGGACUUUAAACCCGGAUACAAUCUCAGCACAAUUUAUUUUAUAUACUUUUUACUAACUUUGGCCUCAUCAAAUAUCUAAUAAUACACACUUUUCACAAUUGGUCAUUCGGCCACAUUAUAUACACAUAAACAUACAUACAUUUCACACUUGCCCAUUCGGUCACACCACAUACACAAGCACAUAUAUAAGAUAAUGCUUUUAUCAUUACUUGCUAAUACAUCAUAUACUUUGCUUUCAUUUAAAUAACCACUCAGCCAUAUUACAUUUCUAAGUAACCAUUCGGCCUCACUAUACAAAUAAGAUAGCACACAUUUUCAUAAAGGCCAUUCAAAUAACUUGCACACAUUUAAUAUUAGCCAUUUCGAUCUCACCAUAUACAUAUCUUGUACAUCAAUUUCAUCAUAUCAAAAUCGACUAGGUAUACUAGUCAUUCAUGGCUUAUAGCCUCAUUUUAAUAUGGAUUCGGUACUUUGAUUACCAAUAUUUAAUCAAACAUGUUCUUAAUUACAAUUAUUUAACAUUUUAUUUUACAUUCGGCAAUGACAUGUUCAUCUCCAAUAAUUCAAUACUUAUAAACUUAUAAUUUCAUAAAUUUUAACAUCAAAGAUCCAUCUAACACUCAUAUAUCAUUUCCUAACGUCACAAUUCAAAAUUCACGUAUGGUUUUAAUCAACAUCUUAUAAGCAACUCAAACAGUUUUAUCAAUGUUUACAACAUAAUCACAAAUUCACUACAAGCUGUCUUCCUGAGCAACAAUCAUUAAAUUAUUUGAAACUGGAGCUACAAAACUCCAAAUCAAGUGCCGUUAAUUUUCCCUAGAAAUAGACUCAUCAAGCUUUAAUUACAUAAUUUAUUAAGCCUUUAACUCAACUCUAACAAUUCCUGGUGAUUUUCUAAAAUCACGUUAUUGCUACUGUCCCAAGCAAAUCUAUUACAAUUUACUCUUAAAUUUCCAAAAGUUCAAACACUUCAAUUUCCCUUCUUCAGUUUCCUAAUCACAUUAAUAGUUUCACUUACUUUGUAACAUUAAUCCACAAUUCAUCUCAUAAUUCAUUCGGUAAUUUCAUCACAUAAUUUAUUAAAAUACCAUUUCCUUAUAUUGAUUUCAAAUACAUUCAAGAAUUUAAAGCAUAAUUUCAUAACCAAAUGUAUUCACUAUUCGACAUUUACAAGAAAUUCAUAGUAUUUUAUUCACGUCUUAACUCAUGAUGCUUUCGGUUAUUCCAUCUUAUCUCAUGUAUUCAAAAUACCAUUCACACAUAUUAGUUCAUAAGACAUUUGGCUAUCACACAUAGUCCUCACUAAAUUCAUACUCAUUCUAUUUACCAUUACUUAACUGAAACACAAAGAUCAUAUAUCAUUCUCUAAAACUCUUUUAGCAUAUACCUCAUUUCCAUACACAAUUCAAUCGAGUAAGCUAUCCAUUUUCGGCUCAUAUUAUGAACAUUAUUAAUCAUUCGAAAAUAUAUAUUUAUAUAUCACAUAUACUAAAACUUUAUUCUAUAUUCAUUUAAUCUUUAAACACAUAAAUUCAACUUAAUUGUUUAAGAGCUUACCUCAAAAGUUAUCGUACGGCUAUAUCGACUAUACGACUACCUUCGUUUUUUCCUCGAUCCGAGUUUGUCCCCUUAAGCUCUCGAUGCUCAAUCAACAAUUUUAACUACUCAAUUUACAAAUGGCAAUGUCAUUACUUUACAUAACAGAAAUUAAAUUUCAUUACUUAAACUAUCCACGACAAUCACCUUCCGAGCACCUUAAUUUUCUUUAAGCUAAACCGCCUCAUAGCAUACAUAUACACAUUAAAACAAAAUCAGCACUCAUAAUCGAAUCAUUAACUAAAAUCACAUUGGUAAUAUGCUUAAAUAAUCUUCAAUAUUUAAUAACAUCUAAAACUAAUUUGCUUGAGGUGCCAUGAAUUAUUCAAAUUAGCCGAAUAUCAUUGAAUUUCUAAAAUCAUGCUUAUAACCACUUGGACGAAUUUCACAUAUCAAAGCCAUUUAUAUAUAUUAUUCAAAGUAUUUAACAACACUUAAAAGUCCAAAACCGAAUGCUUAUCUUACCACCAACAUGCAUAUUUAAUUAUCUCAAGCCUCUCUUAAUCAAUUUUAUUCAUAAUAGCAUGAACUUAACAAUCCAUUACUCAUACAAAACAAACAUAACCGAAAAUCCCUUCAUGAACUAAUCACUCACAUGUAACAUACUUUUCAAAAACAAGCUCAUAAACAUAUGAAUUUUGGUAUCAAAUUGUCCAUUGAACAUUCGUUUACUAUCUUCUAUCCUCAACUCAAAUUUCCUCACUCAUUUUCACUAAGGUCGAAUCUAAAAUGCCUCAUAAACUAAAUUUAUCAAGUGGGUUUCGGCUAGAAAAAGAAGAGAAACACAAAUUCAUUAACAAUUUACAAAACCACAUCAAAUUACCUUAAAAUUCGCCUCCAAUUGACCAAACGGUCCCAAAACCAUCCUUCACUCUUCUUCUUUUUAUGAAUUUCAGCUAGGUGAAGAGACAAAGAUGAGUUCUUAUUUUCUUCACCAAAUUCUUAUUUUAUUUUUAUCAAUAAACUAUAUAAUAAUGACUAUAUCAAUAAACUACUUAAAAAAAAUAUCUAUUCAUUAUUAUACAUAUAAAAUAUGCUUAUUUUGCUCACCAAAACCAUCAUGGCCUGCCACUAACAUUAAAAGUGGCAAAUUGACAUGCAAACCCACUUAUUUGCAUCAUUCAAUAAUUAAUCAUUUAAAAUAAGCCACACAUAUAUUCAAAACUUCUCACAUAAGUCCUUUUUAUUUAGAAACACAUUCAAAUUGACAAAAAUCAAAGCAUUCAAAUUUCACACAUGCAUGAUCACAUAUUUUAGACAUAAAAUAUUAUAUUCAAUUAUUUCUGCGACUCGGUUUAGCGGUCCCGAAACCACUUCCCGACUAGGGUCAGAAUAGGGCUGUCACAUGGUGGAUGCCUUGCUAGGGAUAGAUAAGAUGUCUUUGACAUUGACGGAGGAAGAGAAGAAGCGUAAGGAUUGAAAGGUGUUAACACAGUUACAUCUACAUUUGUCUAGCAAAAUUUUGCAGGAUGUGAUAAAGGAGAAAACCGCCGCUGCAUUAUGGAAGAAGCUGGAACAAAUAUGUAUGUCAAAAAAUCUAACCAGCAAGUUGCAUAUAAAGUAGCGUCUUUAUGCUCAUCGUUUGGAGGAAGGUGCGUCUGUACACGGCACUUAACAACGUUUAAAAUUUUUUUCUCAAACUUGGAGGCCAUGGAGGUUCAACAUGAUAAAGAAGAUCUAUGGUUGAUUCUAUUUUGUUCGUUGCCCUCGUCUUAUUCAACCUUUAGAGACACGAUUUUAUAAGCCGCUAGUCUCUCACAGUUGAUGAGGUUUAUGAUUCUUUGACCUCGUAUGAUAAGAUGAAUCAUCUUGUGGUUAAACCCGACUCUCAGGGAGAGGGUCUCAUUGUUCAUAGGAGAUAAUAUCGAAAUGCUGAUAAUGAUCGUGGAAGGACACAGGAACGAAAUCCUCGCAGUAAAUCUAAAGGUAGAUCGAAGUAUUCAAACAAAGGUAAAACAUGUAACUUUCUACAAGAAGAAAAGACACAUUAAAUCUGAGUAUUAUAAGCUACAGAACAAUAUCAAAAGAGAGGCUAAGAAUCAAAAGGGAAAACAACAAGAAAAAUCUGGUGGAGUUGAUGUUGUAGAAGACUACUACGAUGGUAAACUUCUAGUUGCUUCUGUCAACAAUUCUAAAGUGAGCUAGGACUGGAUCCUUGAUUCGGGCUACACCUUUCAUAUGAGUCCCAAUUGGGAUUGGUUUACCACUUACGAAACAGUGUUUGAAUGUGUUGUUUUGAUGGGAAAUAAUGCUUUGUGUAAAAUUGUUGGUGUUAGAACGAUUAAAGUUAAGAUGUUUGAUGAAGUUGUCAGAACACUUAGUGACGUGCGACAUGUUCCAGAAUUGAAGAAAAAUUUAAUUUCGUUGAGUACUCUUGAUUCAAAAGGGUACAAAUACACAGUUGAAAGUGGGGUUUUGAAGAUUUCCAAAGGUUCCCUCGUUGUGAUGAAAAGGCAGAGAAAGACUGUCAAGUUAUAUGUUUUGCAGGGUUCUACUGUUACUAGUGAUGCAGUUGUCACUUCCUCUUCCUUGUCAGAUGAUGAUAUUACUAAACUUUGGCAUAUGUGCCUAAGGCAUAUGAGUAAGAAUGGCAUGGUAGAAUUGAGCAAAAUAGGACUUCUAGAUGGGUAAGGAAUUUGCAAACUGAAGUUCUAUGAGCGCUGUGUUUUUGGAAAGCAAAAAAGAGUUUGAUUCACCAAAAGAAUCCAUAACGCGAAGGAAACAUUGGAGUAUAUUCAUUCUGAUCUAUGUGUGUAACAGCCUAAUAUUCAGUGGUGUCGGAAUAAUGAAUCGAGAUCACUAAAUCCAAAAAAUGAGUAGGAAAUAUUAUUAAUUUGGUGAGUAUAAUUUAAAUGUGAAGUUAGGAAAAAUUUUGAAAUAGUGAAUAGUGUACUAAAAAUAUAUAUUAAAAUAAUUAGAAUUGAAAACGAGGUAUCGAGACCUCGAGAAUUUUAAAUCGAGCCAUAAAUAUUUUUAUAAAUAUUUAUGGAGUGUUAAUAAGUUAGUAUUAAAGUUUCGUCAAGAAAUUUAAAGUACUGAUAGCUAAUUGAACAAAAAGGACUAAAUUGUAUCAAAUACAAAAUUGUGGGAAAUGAUUAAAUAGCUUAAAUGAUAAAAGAAAGAGGGUUUAAAAGGCAAAUAGACCCAAGGUCUAUUUGGGCUGGACGACAAGGGCAUGAAAUCAGCAAAAAAAUAAGGAGAAUUAAGGGAAAAAUUGGAAAAUUGCAAAAUUUACUUAAUAAAGCUAGGACUAAAGUGGAAUUAUCUAGAUUUCUCUUUAUUUUUCUGCAUUCUCAUCAGCAAAGACACUAUGGAAGAAUUCCCUUAAGCUGGUUUUUCAUAUUUUUAUUGCAAGUAAGUUCAAUUCUUGCUUAUUUCUUGAAAUUUUUGUGUUUUUGUGACUUUUACAACUAGGUCCACUUGUUGAAUUCAUUAGUUUUUGAUUCUAUGAAAGAAAUUGAAAGUUACUAUGAAUAUGUUCUGGAAGUAUAUGAUGAUUUGGCAUGGAAUUAGAGCUUUAAAUUGUUUAUAUGCUGAUUUUAUUAAAAGAAUUGAAUAGAAAGUGAAUUUUUGGGACCUAAAUUGUAAAAGAGCUUGAAGUUAGAGUUUUAUGUGGAAAUUCUGAAUUUCAAUAGUUAUUAAAUAACUUAUAAUGUCUAGGAAAAGUAUUAAUUAAUAAAAUUAGCUUAAUUGAGGGGUUAAUUGAGCAAGGACUGAAUUGUAUGAACUGUGAAAUUUGGGGCAAAAUGAAAAUCAACAUUUUGCACUAAAACAUUUUUGGACAGCAACAAUAGUCUAACUUUGAAAAAUCAUAAAAAAAUUUUAGAAAUCGAAUUAGAGGAUGAAUAAAAUAUGAAAUUAAAGCUUAUUGAGUCUAGUUUCUUAUAGAAGAAAUGGUGUAAGCAAUGGAAUUGUAAAUCAUGAGAUAUAAUAAUUUUUGUGAUACAAUGUCAGAAUGAUUUCGGGUUCUCCUGUUCUGACUUUGGAAACUCAUAAAAAAUUGGAGAAAAAUAAUUAAAGGAUUAAAUUUAUAUGUUUAAAAUCCUUAAUGAGUUUAUUUUCAAUAGAAAUAAGCACGAACAUCAUCCAAAUCUCGAAUGAUGAGAUAAUUAAUUCUUAGUGAAGAAGGGUCGGACCGUCAAACAGCAAAACAGGGGUAACUUUAAAGAAUAGGCUAAACCAAAAAUUCUAAAAAUUUUAUGGUAAUAAGAUAUGUAAGUCUAGUUUCAAGGAAAAUUAGCGGAUCUUAAUUUCGACUUCUGUAGCUUAAGAUAUAAAUAAUUUAGUGACUAUGACGCAAAUGGACAGUUUUGAAUAUACAUAUAAGUAAAUAGUGAAAUUAUUGAUAAUGUUACUUGUGGCAUGUUAUACAAAUUAAGGAUGUGGAAUGGAGAGGAGGAGGUGGAAAAUAUGUAUGAAUAUUCAGCUAGCAUGGCUAAUUUGCAUGUUUUAGGCUCAUGGACUAAAUUGAAUAAAAGUAAAAUUUUAUGGGUAAUUUUGUAAAAAUGUUAGAAAUGACCAAUUUUCAUGAAAUGGAAUAUUUUAUUAUUUAAAAUUACAAAAUUGAAUGAAAUUAUUAAUUUAGUUCAAGAUCAGGAAAAAACAUGUUUUUAGGAUUAAAUUGAAAAGUGUUGAAAUUAUGAAAAAUUCUGAUAUUUUAUAGAAUUCAUGGGUUGUUAUCAAUUUGUUUGAGAAUAACGACUGGAAAUAAGGAUUAAAUUGCAAGAAUUUUAUUUUAUUUUAACCUAAGGAUGAAACCGUCAUUAAUUAAAAGUUUAGGGAUAAAGUGGUAAUUUUAUUUAGAGCAUUAGUUGAAUGUAUUACAACAUGAAAUAAAUGACAACGACGAUUAAAUUUCUUUAUAAAGAUUCGGGAUGACUCGAAUACGAGACUUGAAUGUGGAAAAGAAAAGAUAUCGGAUUAAUGAAAUUAUAAACAUGUGCAAGCAACGAGGUAAGUUAGUGUAACCUGAAUUGUAUUUUUAAAUGCAUGAAAUAUCGAUAUAAUGAAUUACCUGAUUUAUGUUUAUGAAGAAAUGGAAAGAGAAUGAUAUUUAUCAUGAUAUGUAAAUAGGUGAUUAUUUUUGAUACGUUGAUCAAGGAAAUUAAUUAAAUUGAGACGAGUAAUAAAUUCAAGUAAAACAUAUCGAGAAAAAUAAGUACGUUAAGGGACAAUAUGUUUGAUUUUAAUUGGUUCCAAAUAUGAACGUUAGAUGAAAUGAAAUAUCUGAUAAAUAAAUCGGUAACUCCGGUAAUGCUCCAUAACUCUAUUCUGGUGAUGAAUUCGGGUUAGGGGCGUUACAUUUAGUGGUAUCAGAGCUAAGGUUUAGUCGGUUCUCGGACCGAAGUAGUACAUAUGAAGUCUAGAAAUACAUGUCAUUAUAUAACUUAUGAUAACAUGAUAUCUUCCGACUCUGAUGAGGUUUGUAUCACUAUAAUUCAAUCUUUAUCAUUAUUAUGUGUUUAAUUUACUAAUUAUGUGUGGUAAGUAUUCAAGGUAAGUAUUUAGUAAAAUGAUAAAUUUAUGAUUGGAUACUAAAAUUGAGACUGAUACUGAAUUGAAUUAUGGAAUACUGAAUAUUACUUUGAAUACUGAAUUGAAUUGUGAAGUUACUGAUUGUUAUGUGUACUACAUUGAACUGUGAAAUUACUGAAGUAAUGAAUUAUUGCAAUACUGUGAAACUGAUUGAAAUAAGGAAUUAUAAUUGAUACUGAACUGAGAUGGAAAUUGUACUGAAAAGUGAAUUAAAUACCCUAUUAACUAGUCGGACUGAGUCGGAUAUAAUUGGCAUGCCAUAGGAUUUGGAAGUGUUUAGGCACUGAGUGCCAUACUGGUGUGUUUGGUUGGAAUCCACAUAUCCGCCAAAGUCCGAGUCUUGUUAAUAGGGGUAAAUAUGAAUAUUAAGUAAAAUUAAAAUAAGAAUUAAAUUCCUUAUUAACUUGUCGGGCUAGUCGGAUAUAAUUGGCAUACCAUAGGAUUAGAAGAGUACGGGAUUUAUCGGCUUUACCGAUCAGGCACUUUAUGUGCCGUAUUUUAGGCACUUAUGUGCUGGUUACUGUUACUGCUACUGUUACUGUUACCGAUUCGACACUUUGUGUGUCGAAUAUUGUUACUGUUACCGUUAUCGAUUCGGCACCCUGUGUGUCGAAUAUUGUUACUGUUACCGUUACCGAUUCUGCACUUUGUGUGUCGGAUAUUGUUACCGUACUGUUACUGUUUCGGAUUUGUUGUGAAGAGGUACUUUGUACCUUACUGUUAUUGUUACUGUUUCGGAUUUGUUCCAAUGAGAUACUCUAUGUACCAUACUGUUACUGUUCCGGCUUCAGCCGAUGAGGCGCUAUGUGCCGUACUGGUGUGUUUGGGUUGGAAUCCGUGUAUCCGUCAAAGUUCGGAUUGUUAAUAGGGUGAAUAACUGAAAUAAGAAAAUUAAAUAAAUUUGAUUGCUCGUUCUAUUAAAAAAAUAUAUAUGAGAAAGAAAUUAUGAGUUGAAUUCUCAAUUGAAUUGAAAUGUGAGAUUUGGAGCUUGAACUUAAGGUUCAUGAAUUUGCUAAAAUAUCGAAUUAUUGAUAUUGAAAUCAAUUAAAUAAAUGAAAUGAGAAAAUCGAAUGAAUUUGAUCGGUUGAACUCUUGAAAGUAUAAAAAAAUGGAAUUAAGAAUUAAAAUGUGAAUUGAAAUUGAGAUAUGAGAUUGAAAGCUUGAACCAAAGGUUCAUGAAUUGAUUAAAGAUAAUAUAGAUGAUAUAUGAUGCCAUUUGAUGAAAGACUAUUGUCGAGAUAUGAAAUUAAAGCAUAAUUAACACAUAUGACUUAUAUUGUUAGAUGUUUGAUGUCUAUUAUUUAUUAUAGUUUUUUAUAAUUUGAAUUAUGUUAAUACCACUGAGUAUAAACAUACUCAACGUACGGUUGUAUUACUAUAAUUCAAAUUAUUUAUUAUUAAAUGUUAAAUGUUAAAUUAUGUAUAUGGUAAGAGAAAUAUGAGUUAGUGAUAUUGAGAUAUUUGAAAUGUGUUUAUGAUGAGAAGGAACUUAGAAAGGUAUGAAUGGAAGUUCAUGAUAUGUAUGUGAUAAUGUACGAAAUGAGAUAAUCAAUAGUUGAGAAAUGAUGAAAUGUGAAUGAAAUGAAAGUUUAUAUUGUGAUAAGCUUAUCUAUGUUUGUGUGGCAUUCAUAUGAUAUUAUGUGUCUGACUUGUUUAGUUAAGUAAAUGCUAUGAGUAAAUUUACUCAAAAUUCAUGGAAUGUAUGUUUAAGUACACUAGCUUGAAAUUGAUAAUUGAAAAGUUCGUGUAACAUAAUUAUGUAUGUUAAUUUGUUUGAAGUGAAUUAUGUAAUUGUGAUGAUAUGAUGUUGAUGAUAAACGCUAAGUUAUAUGUGUGUAUUUAUGAGAGCACAGUUAGAGGAUUUACGACCUCACCCUCUUACCAAUGUAGUAUUUUAUAAUGAAAAUUUACAAAAAAAAAUAUGUAUGAAUAAGUUCACAAAUGUGAAACUAAAGAGUACAGUAAUGGAAUAAUUAAUAAUGCAGACGGAGUUGAAAAUAGUUUGACAAGUGAAUACAGUUUUGAAAAAAGAUAUCAGAUUAUUCUAAAGAUCAUUCAGAUUACGUAAUGUCACGGUUAAAGAAAAAGUUAACCUCGGCUAGUCGACUUAUUCAGAUAUGAUGUCUGAAGUAUGUGUUUGCUAAAAUUUUUCGGAAUUGGUUUUCGUUAGUGAAUGGAAUGAUGCAGGGUUUAUGAUGACAGGAUUAGUCAGAAAAAUGAUAAUUGAGUAGUAAAGAUGUUUGUGUGUGAUAGUUACAGUUGAAACGAAUAUGAUCAUCUUUUCUGGGUAUUCUAUAUAUUUUUUUAUCCUCAGAGAUAUGUGUGUGGUUGUUCAGUCUCUGGUGGAGUUCUGAUAUUUUGAGAAUGCUAGUUAAUUAUGAUGUUAGACGGAAGCCCUAUUGGUCUGGUCGGUUUAUGAUCGUCAUUUCUUCAUCUUUUUAGAAUUCUAUUUUAAUAUGUUGGAAAUGAAGUUAAUGGUAAAAUUUUAUGUGAGACUAUCCUUAUGUUUCUACUGAUUAUGAUUUUGUUUUAUACAUGCGGGAAAUAUAUUAUCUCUAUUAUGAUGGAAGUCCAGAGUCGGUAAGCAGUGUUUUUCUUUUGGCUUUCUUUGAGAAAUUGUCAAGAUCUUUAUUAUCUUCUUGUGAGUUAGAUGUACUCGUGAUUGCACGAGCGUUAUGUAAUAUUUUUGAGUUCAUAUUCAGAUGUCUAUUUGUUAGUAAGUAAGCCGAACAUUAAGAACAUUUAGAAUUAUUGCAGUCAGUGAUAAUACUAGUGUGUUAUGAGAUAGAAUGACUAUAGAUUUCGAAUUGGGAUUGUCAUUAACAUCGGAAAAGAAAAUGUUAUUUAGUUUAUGGUUGUUCAUUUGACAAAGAAAGAUCUGUAUGAUCAUUUCAGUAGGUACAGAGUUUUCAUUUGACAGAUCAGCUGAGUAUAUGUGUCCCUGAGAGGGUAAUUUAGAAUUUUGACAAUAUGUUCCAACAUUGUGUUCUAGAGUUCAAAGGUGACUGGAAAAAGAUAUUCGAGGUUAAAUCAACAUUGUGAUUCUGAGUAGUAAAAGUGUUUUAUGAGUGUUGAAAGAAACUUCUUCUGGUAAGAUUUUCGGGGACGAAAAUCCCUAAAAGGGAGAGAGUUGUAACAGUCUAAUAUUCAGUGGUGUCGGAACAGUGAUUCGAGAUCACUAAAUCCGAAAAAUGAGUAGGAAAUAUUAUUAAUUUAGUGAGUAUAAUUUAAAUGUGAAGUUAGGAAAAAUUUUGAAAAUAGUGAAUAGUGUACUAAAAUAUAUAUAUUAAAAUAAUUAAAAUAAAAAACGAGGUAUCGAGACCUUGAGAAUUUUAAAUCAAGCCAUAAAUAUUUAUAAAAAUAUUUAUCGAGUGUUAAUAAGUUAGUAUUAAAGUUUCGUCAAGAAAUUUUAAAGUACUGAUAGCUAAUUGAACAAAAAUGACUAAAUUGUAUCAAAUGCAAAAUUGUGGGAAAUGAUUAAAUAGCUUAAAUGAUAAAAGAAAGAGGGUUUAAAAGGCAAAUAGACCCAAGGUCUAUUUGGGCUGGAUGGCAAGGGCAUGAAAUCAGCAAGAAAAUAAGGAGAAUUAAGGGAAAAAUUGCAAAAUUGCAAAAUUUACUUAAUAAAGCUAGGACUAAAGUGGAAUUAUCUAGAUUUCUCUUUAUUUUUAUGCAUUCUCAUCAGCAAAGACACCAUGAAAGAAUUCCCUUAAGCUGGUUUUUCAUAUUUUUAUUGCAAGUAAGUUCAAUUCUUGCUUAUUUCUUGAAAUUUUUGUGUUUUUGUGACUUUUACAACUAGGUCCACUUGUUGAAUUCAUUAGUUUUUGAUUCUAUGAAAGAAAUUGAAAGUUACUAUGAAUAUGUUCUGGAAGUAUAUGAUGAUUUGGCAUGGAAUUAGAGCUUUAAAUUGUUUAUAUGCUGAUUUUAUUGAAAGAAUUGAAUAGAAAGUGAAUUUUUGGGACCUAAAUUGUAAAAGAGUUUGAAGUUAGAGUUUUAUGUGGAAAUUCUGAAUUUCAAUAGUUAUUAAAUAACUUAUAAUGUAUAGGAAAAGUAUUAAUUAAUAAAAUUAGCUUAAUUGAGGGGUUAAUUGAGUAAGGAUUGAAUUGUAUGAACUGUGAAAUUUGGGGCAAAAUGAAAAUCAACAUUUUGCACUAAAACAUUUUUGGACAGCAACAAUAGUCUAACUUUGAAAAAUCAUAAAAAAUUUUAGAAAUCGAAUUAGAGGAUGAAUAAAAUAUGAAAUUAAAGCUUAUUGAGUCUAGUUUCUCAUAGAAGAAACGGUGUAAGCAAUGGAAUUGUAAAUCAUGAGAUAUAAUAAGUUUUGUGAUACAAUGUCAAAAUGAUUUCGGGUUCCCCUGUUCUUACUUUGGAAAAUCAUCAAAAAUUGGAGAAAAAUAAUUAAAGGAUUAAAUUUAUAUUUUUAAAAUCUUUAAUGAGUCUAUUUUCAAUAGAAAUAAACAGAAACAUCAUCUGAAUCUCGUACGAUGAGAUAAUUAAUUCUUAGUGAAGAAGGGUUAGAACUGUCAAAUAGCAAAACAGGGGUAACUUUAAAGAAUAAAUUGUACUUAUUGGCUAAACCUGUAACACCCCUCGCCCGUAUCCCUCACCGGAAAAGGGUUCGAGGUGUUAACCGACUUAAACUCAGUCAAUCACACAAAAACCCUGCCGAAAAAUUUCAAUCUAUUUAAAACCUUUCUUUUCACAUGUAAUCUGUCCCAUAUAUGGGCUUACAAGGCCCAAAACAUCACUAGCCAACAUAAGCCAAUUUACAUAGCCAAAACACUUUAUCAAUACAAGCCACCAACUUUGGCUAACUUAUAGUAUCACAUACUCAAGAUUUAAAACCCUAUACAUGCCAUAGACUCGAAAUACUAGGAUUUACUUACACCAAUAGCGUGAGCUCGACAGUGUGAUAAUAUCUCCGACGAACUCCAACCCGAGCAAGUAACUGGAGCCAACAAUCUAUAAAACAAAGGAAUGUAACAACGGAGUAAGCUUUCAUAAGCUUAGUAAGUUUUAAGCAAUGCAAACAAAUAAACGCAAUUAUACUUCGAUUAUUCAAUUUCUCAAGAGGCCAUAUUCUAGGUAUAUUGCCAUCUGGUUGAAUACAUACAAACACAUAAUGCACGUUCAGCAUUCUUAUCACACUUAAUCUGAAUUCGUAUAACAUAAUUAAAUCAAAUACUUUCACAUACUUUCACACCCUGACCCGAUGUAUCAUGAUCAUAGAUAUAUUUAUAACAUUUAUUCACGUAUGUAUCACAUUACAUACUUAUGAUUCACUUCAAAUCAAACUCACAUAUGAGUACAUAAUGUGUACCUGGCCCACUUAACAUAUUGAAUGUAUUCAUUUGUCAAUCUAAUACGAGGUACCUUAGUCUUAGAUUUUUCUCAAAUCACCGGCAUUUCGCCUGCUAGGCUCGAGGCCUGAUUAUCAUUUCACCGGCAUUAUAGCCUGCUAGGCUCAAAGGCCCGAAUAAUCAAAUCAACAAGUUCCAUAUAACAUAUUCAUAUCAAUUAAGUACUAACAUCAUUCGAACGUAUAUAAUUAUACAUCUCAAACACUUUUCUUUCAUCUCAUUUUCACAUUUAGCAUUUGAUAGCUUAUGCAUAACAUUUCACUCACAUUCAUUUCAAACUUAUCAUUCGAUUAUAAAAGCACAUUGCAUAUUUACCAACAUGAUUAUUCUUGCCAUUAGGCCACAUAUAUAAGCAUGAUACAAUACACUAUCAUUUCAUCUUUAACAUUCGGCUAAACCCUUAUCUUACAAGGAACACCGAAUUCACAUAACAUAUCAUUUCACCGGCAUUACGCCUGCUAGGCAUGAAGGCCCGAAUACACAUCACUGGCACGAAGCCUGCUAGGCACAAAGGCCCGAAUACACAUCAUCGGCACGAAGCCUGCUAGGCACGAAGGCCCGAAUACACAUCAUCGGCACGAAGCCUGCUAGGCACGAAGGCCCAAAUAUAAUACCAGCACUAGGCCUGCGGGAUUUAACCCGGAUAUAUUACCAGCACGAAGCCUGCGGGAUUUAACCCGGAUAUAUUACCAGAUUUAACCCGGAUAUAUUACCAGCACAAAGCCUGCGGGAUUUAACCCGGAUAUAUUACCAGCACGAAGCCUGUAGGAUUUAACUCGGAUAUAAUUCCAGCAUAUAGCCUUCGGGUCUUUAGGCCCGGAUAGACAUCAAAUAUCAUGCAUAUUUAAUCAUAUAUUAACACAUCUCAUUCAACAUAUCACAUUAGUAGUCAUUUGCAACACUCGAAUAUAAGCUCCAUAUGAACACCAUCAUUUACAUUUCGGUUCAAAAGUCUUACAUAAAUAUCACAUAUCCAUUUCACCAUUCAAACUUAACCCAUAGUGACCAUUCGACUAUAAGUCAUAUACAUAAAUUAUUUAUUGCACAACUUAAUUCAAGUAGAACCAAAAGGUCACGAUUCACCUAAUAUAUACCCAUUGCUCACUGAUUCGUACACAACCUUUCAAAUUAGCAAUUAUAAGAUGGUUCCGCACAUAGCCCAUCCUUAUCGAUAAUUUACGAUGGUUUUACCAUUACUCACAUAUAUGUCAUAGGCAUUUUUACCUAUGCUUCUCAAUUCACAUUCAUGAUUCAAUUCCAAUCGAUUUAACAUGCAUAAGUACAUAUCACAUACCUGAAUAAUUUACUUUACGGAAUGAAUCCAUGUAUCGUAUUAGCCCAUAGUCUUAUAGCACCACACUUUUAAUAGUUUACCUCGUCGAAGUUCACAUUUAAUCACUUUAGUGCCAAGCCAUAUUUGGCUACCACAAAGGACUAAUAAUAAUAAUUUUAUACACAUCAUGGUUUCCAUUAGGUAUUUAAUAAUCACAACUCGUGAUAUCUCCACCAGCACAUAUACGGCAUAGUUUAUUCAUUGUAACACUCAUUUAGUGCAUCAAAUUUCCAAAUCCAAUUCAACUUAAGCAUAAUAGCCAUAAUUGGCUUAUAGCCUUAAAUCAUUACAUAUUCGGCACAUUAACUAAAUAAAAUUUACAUUCACUUUUCCAUAUUAAUUUAACUCUUGGGCAUGUAAAAAGGAAUCAAGCUUAAACACUUAAGAACUUACCUUGAAUGUUGCAGAACGAUUACAACGGCUAUUCUAUUACUUUCUCUUUUCCCUUAUCCGAAUUUUGCCCCUCUAUGCUCUUGAGCUUAAAUUCAAAGAUUUUAAACUAGUCAUUAUUCGAUUAUUCGAGCAUCACUUUCAAAAUAUAAUAUAUAUAUUCAACUUUCACACCUACUGAUCAUAGUAACCUUAUAAGAAAUCAAUAAGCAACUCAUUAACAAUUUUUUGUCAAUGUUUACCACAUAAUCAUAAUUUCACUGCAAGCUGUCUUCCUGAGAAACAGUCACUAAAUCAUUUAUAACUGGAGCUACGAAACUCCAAAUCAAGUGUCGUUAAUUUUCCAUAAAAAUAGACUCAUAUAUAUUUUAUCCAUAAAAUUUUCCGAAUUUUUGGUUUGGCCAAUCAAUACCAGAUUUUUCUUAAAGUUUCCCCUGUUUCACUGUCUGACUAAUCUGACCACUCCUCACUACGAAUCAAUUUUUUCAUUGUACAGAAUUCAAAAUAUGUUCUUGUUUAUUUCUUUUAAAACUAGACUCAUUAAGGAGUCUAAGAAUAUAAACUUCAUCUUAUGACCGUUUUUGUGCAAUUUAUAAUGAUUUUAUAAAAAUAGAACAGAGGAUCUAGAAGUCAUUCUGACCCUGUCCCACAUCACUUCAAAUAUCUCAUUAUCGGUAAUUAUUUUGCUUACAUGGUUUCUUUUAUAAGAAACUACACUCAUUAAGAUUUAAUUACAUAAUUUAUUAUGCUUCUAAAUCAUAUCCCACAAUUUAUGGUGAUUUUCCAAAAUCACGUUACUGUUGCUGUCCCAAGCAGAUUUAUUACCAAAUCACUCUUUCACACAUAUAUACCUUGCAUGCAUGUUAUUUAAACAUGCAUAUCACAAAUCAAUCAUCACAUACCUAUAACUUCACUUAAGAAUAAUCUCCAUUUCAUCAUUUUAAAGCACAAACAUUACUCAAUAUUAUCCAAGUUCACAUUCGGCCAUAAUACACACAACAUGUUAGCCGAUUUUCCCCCUUAGCAUCUAAGGCACAUGCAUACUCAUUUGGUUGGCUCAACUUCACCUAUCUUCCAUUAUUCAUCAAAAGAACAUGAAACAACAACCAUUUCCCUCAUUUCAAUUCAUGACCAAAUGUUCACAACACAACCAAAAAUAAAAAAUAUGCUUCAUGAGUUAAGGUAGAAUCAAGAAGAACUCAUGAACAUCAAGAUAGAAGUAAAAUACCAUGAACUUACCUUGGAUUUUUCUUCCCCUAGUGACCAAAUUUUUCAAGAGCUUUUCCCCUCUUGCUCUCCUCUUUUCAGCUAUGAAGAACAAGGACGAACAAAAAACCUUGUCCUUUACUUCCUUUUGUUAUUUUAUUACUAACAUUUUAUGACACAAAAUAACAUAUAUUAUUUGUGCCAUACUUAUGCCAUAAUUUCAAUAAAAAAAAUUGCACAAAUGCUUAUCAUGCCCAUCAUGGCUGGCCACUACGUUUUAAGGUGGGAAAUUUGACAUGCAAAUCCACCUAUUUCAUACUAUAAGUUAUUUGGCCACUACAAAUUAGCCUAUAUCAUUUUCAAAAAUUUUCUCAUGAGUCCUAUUUCAUAAUUUCACUCACAAAUGGCAAGAUCAAAUCAUGAAAUUUUCACAAAUGCACUUUCACAUGAAAUAAACAUAGAAUAUAACAUCUAAUUAUUUUUGUGACUCGGUUUUGUGAUCCCGAAACCACUUUCUGACUAGGGCCAAAUUAGGGUUGUCACAAAACCAAAAAUUCUAAAAAUUUUAUGGUAAUAAGAUAUGUAAGUCUAGUUUCAAGAAAAAUUAACGGAUCUUAAUUUUGAGUUCUGUAUCUUAAUAUUUAAAUAAUUUAGUGACUAUUAUGCAAAUGUAUAGUUUUGAAUAUACAUAUAAGUAAAUAGUGAAAUUAUUGAUAAUGUUACUUGUAGCAUGUUAUACAAAUUAAAGAUGUGGAAUGGAGAGGAGGAGAAGGAAAAUAUGUAUGAAUAUUCAGCUAGCAUGGUUAAUUUGCAUGGUUUAGGCUCAUGGACUAAAUUGAAUAAAAGUAAAAUUUUAUGGACAAUUUUGUAAAAAUGUUAGAAAUGACCAAUUUGCAUGAAAUGGAUUAUUUUAUUAUUUAAAAUUACAAAAUUGAAUGAAAUUAUUAAUUUAGCUCAAGAUCAGGGAAAAACAUGUUUUAAGGAUUAAAUUGAAAAGAAUUUUAUUUUAUUUUAUUUUAACCUAAGGAUGAAACCGUCAUUAAUUAAAAGUUUAGGGAUAAAAUGGUAAUUUUGUUUAGAGCAUUAGUUGAAUGUAUUACAAUAUGAAAUAAAUGAAAACGACGAUCAAAUUUCUUUAUAAAGAUCUGGAUGACUCGAAUACGAGACUUGAACGUGGAAAAGAAAAUAUAUCGGAUUAAUGAAAUUAUAAACAUGUGCAAGCAACGAGAUAAGUUAGUGUAACCUGAAUUGUAUUUUUAAAUGCAUGAAAUAUCGAUAUAAUGAAUUACUUGAUUUAUGUUUAUGAAGAAAUGGCAAGAGAAUGAUAUUUAUCAUGGUAUGUAAAUAGGUGAUUAUUUUUGAUACGUUGAUACAAGGAAAUUAAUUAAAUUGAGACGAGUAAUAAAUUCAAGUAAAACAUAUCGAGAAAAAUAAGUACGUUAAGGGACAAUAUGUUUGAUUUUAAUUGGUUCCAAAUAUGAACGUUAGAUGAAACGAAAUAUCUGAUAAAUAAAUCGGUAACUCCGGUAAUGCUCCGUAACUCUAUUCCGGUGACGGAUUCGGGUUAGGGGCGUUACAAUGUGGGUCAUCCAAAGUGCCUUCGAGAGGUGGAGCUAAUUAUAUGCUAACUUUUAUUGAUGAUUUUUCCAAAAAAGUUUGGGCGUUCUUCCUGAAGUAGGCAUUUAAGUCUUGGAAAACAAUGAUUGAAAAAUAGACGGGAAAACAAAUAAAAACACCUCCGCACAAACAAUAGUUUAAAGUUCUGUUCUGAUAAGUUUAAUGAACUAUGCAAGUCAGAAGGGAUCAUGAGACACUUGACAGUUUGUCAUACUCCACAACAAAACGGUGUUACAAAAUGAAUGAAUUUUUUUUCAUAAAUAAUAAAAUAAUUUGCAUGAACUUAGCUCAAUCAAAUACUGAUAUUGAUGUUUUAUUUGUAUGCAAUGAUUUGGUCUAAUGAAUUCGUCCAUUUAGAUUGUAUCCAUGUGAGAUAAUGCUAAAUAAAAAAUAAAAGGAAGAGACGAAUUUACAUUACAAAAAACGAUAUAAAAAAAUGAUUAGGAAAAAAAAGGGGGUAAAAUUAGGUAUAUGGAAUCUAAUGGCUAUAAGACAGCUCUUGUCUAUCCUUUGAGGAAUAAUUCUAGAAUCCAAUUGAAUCUAAGACAUGAAUAGUUGGUUUACGUUAUGUAAGAAACACAUGUAUAUGGAUAUUAGAUAUUGACUAGUUAUAUACAAACAUAUUGACUAGUUAUAUACGAACUCAAAAUAUAUCUAAUCCAACCUACUACUGUGCAGUUAGAUAGGUAUUCCAAUAGAAGAAUAGAAGUUCCUCUGUUUCAUCUUUGCUUUGAAUUGAACGAAUAAAGAGAUAAAAUAAAGACAAAAACGAAGAAUUCAAAGCAAAGAAUGGGUUGGAAAAAAGAAAGGGAAGAACAAAGUAUGUGCGGAUUCAAAAAAAUCUAGUGGAUAGGACCUAAAAAAAAGAUGUCGAAAUAGUUCUGACGGUUCAAUAAUCUUCUCGCUUCCAUUCGGAGUUCUUAGUUACUUCGGCAGGUUAAAUCUUAGUGAUGGAAUAAUAUAAUUAAGUCAAAAUUCAUUGGAUGAUUGUAUCAUUGACCAUUUCUUUAUUUUGGUGCGAGGAACUUAUCAUGAAUCCACUGAUUUCUGCCGCUUCCGUUAUUGCUGCUGGGUUGGCUAUCGGGCUUGCUUCUAUUGAUCCUUUACAUGUAAGGCCGAUUGCUCAUGCAAUUUGGGAUCCUCAUUUUGGUCAACCGGCGGUGGAAGCUUUUACUAGAGGGGGCGCUCCUGGUCCAGUGAAUAUCGCUUACUCUGGUGUUUAUCAGUGGUGGUAUACAAUCGGGUUACGUACUAAUGAAGAUCUUUAUACUAGAGCCCUUUUUCUAUUAUUUCUUUCUGCUCUAUCCUUAAUAACGGGUUGGUUACACCUACAACCGAAAUGGAAACCGAGUGUUUUGUGGUUCAAAAGCGCCGAAUCUCGUCUCAAUCAUCAUUUGUCAGGAAAAAAACUAUAUUGAUAAAAAUCAUUUUUAUGAAUUUAUUGCAAGACAUCAAAAGAUGACUGAAAAUAAAGACAAAAAUCAUUAUGAUUUGUUUGUUCCUAAAAAUAUUUUAUCCCCUAACCACCGGCGAGAAUUGCGAAUUGGGUAUGGCUUUGACUAUUCCUCAAGCCCGUCAAUUAGUUAACCAUAGAUAUAUUUUAGUUAAUGGGCGUACAGUAGAUAUACCAAGUUAUCGCUGCAAACCCCGAGAUAUUAUUGGUGUAACGUGUAUCCCCUCCUGUUCUGGUCAUGGAAUAGAUGAAAUAAAUCAAAAAAUGGAUUUUUGUUCAAGAAUGAAAUCUUAUUGGAACUGCCCAGUUCAUCCUUCGGAACCAUAUCACAUCCCAGAUCUGAUGAAAUAGGAUGAAUUGAGACGGUAUUUUGUAAAUACGUAAUUAUCUUGAAUAUAUUAACUAUUUCUUUAUUUUCCGAUUGCCUGGAAGGGACAAAAGAAACAUCUUGUUCUUUCUUCAACAAUUUCUGAUCUCUAGUGGACCUCUCAGUAGGGUUCGAACCCAGAUGAAGUUCUGACCAUCUAUCAGAGAAAAAAAAAUGAAUGGAUCUUGUAGGAUUCCCAAGAAAUUCUUCGAUUUCUUCUGGAAGCGGAUGAAUCAAUCCCACGAGCCUCUUAUCCAUUCUUAUUCGAUCACGGCGGGGGGCAAGGCAAAAUAGAAAAACUCACAUUGGGUUUAGGGAUAAUCAGGCUCGAACUGAUGGCUUCCACCAUGUCAAGGUGACACUCUACCGCUGAGAUAUAUCCCUUCCCUGCCCCCAUCAAGAAAUAGAACUGACUAAUCCUAAGUCAAAGGAUCGAGAAACUCAAUCCCUUAGAAGGUAUCAUUAAAAGAUCAUCAAUUCCUAAUGAAAUGGAUGUAGCAGUGGCUUGCUGGAAACCCAGAGCUUUUACUUGAUCCAGGAUGUGUGAUGUAUAUGCCAUUCCGAAGUGAUCUAUUAAUCUGCUAAUAAGCCGUUUAAUGGCAGUUCCAUCUAUCACUUUAUUGUGAAAUACCAGAUUGGCCCGUUCUGCCAUAAAUACCCCCUUAUUCCGCUGAGUGGACUUCGCCAAUGGGUUUGAGUCAAUGAUUGGAAAACUUCCUUUUCUCGAUCUUGAUUUAUGAAUUUCAACUAAGUAUCGUAAGUAAAUUGGUCCCGGUUGUUCAAUCAUUUGAUAACCAGAGUCAUUCUUUGAUAAAUGAUCACUAUGAGUCAGACUCAAUAGAAUUUGAUCAAUCCUUUUUUUCUGUCGUUAAGGUGGAGAACUGAACCAAGAAUUCUCUUUCUUUAUCAUCAAUCGAAUCACUGUUCGCGACCCAGGAUUCUAUUUUCUCAUCAAUCCAAUCACCGCUCACGUUUUUUCUUUUUCUUAUCAAUGAAUAGAUCUCUUUACUUGUAUGACUUAGAUGUCUCGUAUUUCUCGAAAAAAUGAUUCGAGUGAUGGGAUUUGGUAUGAUACUUAUGAUAUCGAUGAUAUCGAUGAGAUUGAUAUUCAAAUAUUUCUUCUUAGAACGUAUUGAUUUGACCCCAUAAGCGGGACCACCACCCCAUAGCAUGUUGCCGCCAAAAGUAGAACCCCGUAUUUCUUCUAGAGAAUCUCCUUCUAGUUGCUCUUCAUGAAGCUUCUCGCAAUUUGAUUGAUUUAUUUAUUCCUUUUCUACAUACGGAAGAAGAAAACUUACAUUUAGAAAACAAUCAACACGAUAUUACUUUACCUUUUUUUCCAUUUCAUGAUAGAUUAGUUAAACUAACAAAAAAGAAAAAAGAAAUAGCAUUGAAAUAUAUUUUUAUUGACCAAUCAGAAUUGCCUCCUAGGAUCUAUAAUUGUCUCAAAAAGUCCAAUAUACAUACAUUAUUGGACCUUUUGAAUAACAGUCGAGAAGACCUUAUGAAAAUUGAACACUUUCACAUAGAAGAUGUAAAACAAAUAUUGGGCAUUCUAGAAAAGAAGUAGAAAAAGCAUUUCGAAAUUGAUUUAUCAAAAUUUUUAAUCCAAUGGAUUUUGAACCUUCAGCACAAUCCAUAGAUUCGGACCAGAAUUGAAUAAAUGUAUCUAGGGAGAAUUCACUUUGCCUUUGAAGUGACUACUCCCUAGAUACGCACAUCAUGAUAUUUUUUAAUUGAUUCAAUUUAAAAAAGACCUAAAGUUAGGGAUUUAUCAAUCGGUAAUGUUGCUCCAAUACCCAACCAAAGGGCUACUGCAGUACCAAUAAAAAAAACGGUUGUCGCUACUGGACGACGAAAUGGAUUUUGGAAUUUAUUAACAUUUUCCAAAAACGGUACUGUUAAUAAUCCCGCGGGUACUGAAACCAUUAAAAGAACACCCAAUAACUUGUAAAGUACUGUACGAAGUAUUUGAAAUACAGGAAAGAAAUACCAUUCAGGUAAUAUUUCCAAAGGAGUUGCAAAUGGAUCCGCGGGUUCACCAAUCAUUGAAGGUUCUAGAACCGCUAAGCCCACGUUACAAGCAAUAGUACCGAGAAUUACUACUGGAAAAAUAUAUAAAAGAUCAUUGGGCCAUGCGGGUUCCCCAUAAUAAUUAUGACCCAUACCUUUAGCUAAUUUAGCUCUUAAUACAGGAUCGUUCAAGUCAGGUUUUUUUGUUAUUAGGAUAGGUGAAUUUUUAUAGAUCCAUCCCCCAAAGGAACCAGACAUGAUAAUUAGUUCAUCAAGUUGAUGAUAAAAUACAUGGGCGUUCCAGUGGAAAUUAUGCACUUGUUACACAACAACCACUUAGAGGAAGGUCCAAGCAAGGAGGACAACGGGUAGGAGAAAUAGAGGUUUGGGCUCUAGAGGGAUUUGGUGUUGCUCAUAUUUUACAAGAAAUGCUUGCUUAUAAAUCUGAUCAUAUUAGAGCACAGAACGAUCAUGGAGAAAGUUCGAUGCAUGUUGUCGAAUGCUAACUUACCGAAGUCGUUUUAGGCUGAAGCAGCCUUUACUGCAUGUUUUUUGAUCAACUGAUCUCCAUCCAUUGCUAUUGAGAUAAAGACUUCACAAGAUGUAUGGCCUGGUAAUCCUGCUGAUUAUUUUGAUUUAAAGAUCUUUGGGUGUCCUGCGUAUGUUCAUGUUGAUAAUGGAAAUUUGGAACCGAGAUCCAUUAAAUGUGCUUUUCUUGGUUAUAAAGCUGGAGUAAAAGGGUACAAGUUAUGGUGUUCUGAAAAUAAAAAAGUUGUAAGUAGUAGAGAUUGUUUUUUUAUGAAACUGCUAUGCUACCUAACUUAUUUCUUAAAGAAUCUUCCAAUAAAGAACAUCAAAAGCAGGUGGAGCAUCAGAUUAAUCCAGAAUCUACAACAGAGUCGACUCCUCAAGUCAGUACAAAAAUUCAGAAUAGAGUUGCUUCUUUACCACAAUACUCUAUCGCCAAAAACAGAACUAGAAAAGAAAUUAAACCUCCAAAGAAGUAUGCCGAGGAUGAUCUAGUUACUUAUGCUUUAAAAGUGGCUGAAGAUAUAGAUGCAAACCAAGAGCCAUCUAAUUAUUCUGAGGCGGUUAGCUGUGAAGAUUCAGAAAAAUGGAUGUUUGCUAUGCAAGAGGAGAUGGAAUCACUCCAUAAAAAGAGAACACGGGAUCUUGUGAAACUUCCUUAAGGUAAAAAUGUUAUUCGUUGUAAAUGGGUGUUUAAAAAGAAAGAAGGGGCUCCAGAAGUUGAAAAACCUAGAUAUAAAGCAAAGCUUGUUGAAAAGGGCUACAAUCAAAUUCCAGGAGUAGACUUCACAGAUGUAUUCUCCCUAGUUGUGAAGUAUAGUUCGAUUCGAGCUUUGCUUUGUAUUGUGGUCAUACAUGAUUUGGAGCUUGAGCAGCUAGAUGUAAAAACUGUAUUUUUGCCUGGAGAACUUGAGGAUGAUAUUUACAUGCAACAACUAGAGGGUUUUACAUCUCAGAAAAAAAGAAUUAUGUUUGCUUGCUGAAAAAGUCCAUUUACGGUUUGAAACAAUCACCAAGACAGUGGUACAAGAGGUUUGAUUCAUUUAUUACUUUUCAUGAUUUCAAAAGAAGUUGUAAUGGCCUAAAUUCAAGGUUAUCGGAAUAGUGGUUUCGUAACCACAAAUUCGAUUUAAAGAGAAAUUUAUUUUAAUAUUAUUGCAUGAAUAUUUAUAUAAUAGGAAAAUCAUAUGAAAAUAUCGAUAAAAAAAUUUACCGAUUUAGUGGUUAGUUAGAAAAAGAAAUUAUUGAAGAAAUUGGGUAAAAAUAAAGUAUCGAGAUCUUGAUCUCAUAAAACCGAGUCAGAAAUAUUUUUAUAAAUAUUUAUGAAAUGUUAGUGAUGUGGUAUUAAAAUUUCGUUAGGAAAUUUUAAUGUUUGGGUAGUCACUUAAAUGAAAAGGACUAAAUUGUAAAAGGUGUAAAAGUUGCUAGAAUGAUUAAAUAGCUUAAGUGUCUAAUGAGAAAGGAUUUAAAAGGAAAUUAGACCCAAAAUUUAUUUGGGCUGGACGGAAAGGGCAUGAAAUCAGCAGGAAAAUUGAUGAUUUAAGGGAAAAAUAAGAAUAUUGCAUAAUUAACUAAAUAAAUAUAGGACUAAAUAGGAAAUAUCUAGAUUUCUCUUAAUUUUUCUUCAUUCUCAUCAGAAAAAAUGCCAUAGGAGGGGUUCUAUAAGCUGGUAUUUCAUAAUUUUUGCACCAAUUGAGUUAAUCCUUGCCUAUUUCUUGUAAUUUUUGUGUUUCUAAGACCUUUACAAUUAGAUCCUACUAUUAAAUUCAUUAGUUUUUGAUUUCAUGGAUGAAAUUGAAAGUAACCAUGGUUGAGUGCUGUAAUUUUAUGAUGAAAUAGAAUGAAAUUGAAGCUUUAAUUUGUUUAUGAGAUGAAUUUAUUAGGUAAUUUCAAUAGAAAUUGAUUUUUAGGACCUAAUUGUGAAAAUAUUUGGAAUUAAAGUCUAGUGCUGAAAUUAUGAUUUCCAAAGGUUGUAAAAUAGUUUAAGGUGAUAGAAUAAAGUGUUAAUUGAGAAAAAUCAGCUCAAUUGAGAGGCUAAUUGAGUAGGGACGAAAUUAUCAUUUAUUAAAAGCCUAGGCGAAAAAUGGUAAUAAACAGCUUGCUCUAAAACAGUUUUGGACAGCAGCAGUAGACUAACUUUGAAAAAUCACCAUAAAUCGUAGAAAUAUAAUUAGAAGAUGAAAAAAAUAUGAAAUUAAAUCUUAUUGAGCCUAGUUUCUCAUAGAAGAAACGAUGUAAGCAAUGGAUUUGUAAAUCUUGAGAUAUAAUAAAUUUUGUGAGACAAGGUCAGAAUGAAUUCGGGUUCCCCUAUUCUGACUUUUAAAAAUCAUAAAAAAUUUAAUAAAAAUAAUUAGGGGAUUAAAUUUAUAUAUAUAGAAUCCUGAAUGAGUCUAUUUUUAAGAGAAACAAACUAGAACAUCAUUUGAAUCCUGUAUGAAGAGACAAUCUAUUUUUAGUGAAGAAGGGUCAGAACUGUCAGACAACAGAACAUGGGUGACUUUAAAAAAUAAACUAUACUUAUUGUAUAAACCAAAAAUCUUGAAAAAUUUAUGGUAAGAAUAUAUGUGAGUAUAGUUUCAGGAAAAAUUAUAAUAUCUUAAUUUUGAGUUCUUUAGCUCAGGAUAAAAAUAAUUAAGUGACUAUGACCCAAGUAGACAGCUUUGAAUGAACUAUAAAUAAUAGUGGAAUUAUAGAGAAUGUUGCAUAUGAACAUGAAAUGUAUUAAAUUGAUAAUUAAAUUUAUUUAUUUAGAUCCAGAAGAUUCAAAUACGAAGCUAGAUCGAGGAAAGGAAAAAGAUUGGGAUUAGUAGAUUUUUGUUUACAAACAAGUAUUGAGGUAAGUUCGUGUAACUUGAAUUAUAUUCUUAAAUGCUUGAAAUGUAUGUUAUUGAUGUGAAUAUGAUUUGAAUGUUCAUUGUAUGAAAAUUGAUGAAACAUUGAUAUAUUUGAUAAAAAGGGGAAGAAGUUUCGGUUGAAUGAAAGGAAAAUUCAAUGGAUCUCUGAAAAGGAAUUGACGAUAAAAAGGAUCUAGCCCGGACAGAUGAUCCUAUUCUGAUAUAGCCCUCCCGACGAAUAUGUGGAAAAUGGAUUUAGCCCGGACGGGUAAUCUGAAUCAGGGUCUGGAUUUAUCCUGGACUGGUAAUUUAGAUCCAAGCUCAUUAGAGUAAUUGUCGUUGCAGGGGAUUUAGCCUAGACUGGUAAUCCCGACAAUACUCUAUGAGUUUAUAUUACAGGGGAUUUAGCCUGGACUGGUAAUCCCUUUGUAAGGAUGAGGUUCGCGGGAGUGUGCUCUCUGAAAUGGAAAUGUGCGCACAUGUAUAUGAAUUGACGGACCCGAAAAUUGUACACUAAAAGUGUACCCCUGAAAAUCCAUCGAAAAUUCCAAGAAAUUCAACGUGAUAAAUAUGAAAAAAAAAUAAGGGAAUGGAAAUCAUGGUAUUGAUGAGUUCAUCAAUCAUGGUAUAUGUAUUAUUGACACAUGGAAAUUAUUGUACUAACUUGAAUGUUGAGUUUGUGCAUAUUAGGGUAAUAAUGCAUUGAAUGGAUAUUUGAAUGUUUAUUGCAUUGUAUUAAAAAUAUUAGGUAAGUAUAAUUCUUGUUACAUGAGCUUACUAAGCACAAAGUGCUUACCCUAUUUCCUUUUUCCUUGUUUUGUAGUGUUAAGAGCUCGGAGGUCGGAUUUGGUCAGAGACACAUCACACUAUCAACUUCAAGAUUUCGGUAUAUCAAGAAACUUUAUUUUGGAAAUCAAUGGCAUGGAUAAGCUAAUAAAGUAAAUGUUAACGUGAAAUGAAUGUAAAGUUAGCCAUUGGUAUGGUUAACAAACCUGGUCUUGGUAUGUGAUGAUGUUAUCUUAUACAUAUGCGUGAAUCUAUAUGCGUUAAUCUAUCUUGAAAAUAUUUUGAAUUGGAUUGGUUGAUGUGGAUUAUUUUUGGUUUAAAAUUGCAGGGAAGGUUAGAUAUUUAUAAAGGGGUUAUAUUGAGUUAAAAAAAAUUAAUUCAUAAACUCCGGUAAUACCUCGUACCCUAUUCCGACAAUGAAUACGGGUAGGGGGUAUUACAGAAGUAGCUUUAACAGUUGUGUUUACUUUAAGAAAAACAAUGAUGGUUCUUUUGUGUGUCUACUCCUUUAUGUUGAUGACAUGUUGAUAGCAACGAAAGAUAAAGGAAAAAUAAGAAGGGUUAAUGUAACACCCCCUAACCCAUAUCCGUCGCCAGAACAGGGUUACGGAGUAUUACCGGACAUUUAGGAUCAAAUAUGAACAUUACAUAAUUAUCUAACAAACAUAUUAUUUUUCAUAUAAUAUCCCAAUCAAUUCAAUUACUUCAUUCAAAUCAAAUCUAAUUUUCGUACCAAAACAUACUAUUUAUAAUCUUAAAAUAGUACAUAAGCUUAUAUAUAUGUAUCCAAUAACAUUUUAUAACAUAUUUUGUAACACUUUUCAAAAUGACAAACACAAAUGUCCUACGUACAUGCCAUUACCAAAAAGAUAUGUACUUCGCCACAAUGAGUUCGGGAUUGGCCUUGGAUGCUGAUUCAGCAAUUCGACUUUAACUUAAUCUGCGCACAGAAACAAACUGUACGCUGAGUAUAAAACUCAGUGGUAUUUCUAUAAUUCGAAUACUUUAGAGAAAAUAAUAUUAUAAAACAUACACAUUUUAUCAUACAGUAGACAUAGUUUUACAAAUAAUCAUUUCAUAGAUAAAGUAUUUGUACUCAUUCUAUUCAAUCAAUUUGCUAUCCCAAAUAGCUUUCACUAUAUGACACAAUCAUGUGUCUCAAAUCACAUUUCAAUUCAUUCUUCGAUUUCAAUCAUAGCACUGUCUCAUUCAAUAACCAUUCCAUGAACACAUGGUUCAUACAUUUCAUUUUCAUAACUCAAUUCAAUAUUUCAAUCCAAUUCAUGUUCAAAAUCAUCCAAUAUCAUUCAUAUUGCCAAUUUACUUAUUUACCCAUAUUGACAAGACUUGAACUUUGGCGGAUACACGGAUCCAACCAAAACACACCAGUAUGGCACCUAGCACCUCAUCGGAUAAUUCGAGGUAAUAAGUUGACACCUAGUGUCUCAUCGGCCUUGCCGAAGUAAGUUGGUACCUAGUACUUCAUCGAAUUUAUCAGAAGUAAUAAUAUGACACCUAGUGUUUCAUCGACUAGUGGUCGAAGUAUCCCUGAACACUUUCAAUCCUAUGGCAUGCCAAUUAUACCAGACUCAGCCUGACUAGUUAAUAGGGUAUUUAAAUCACAUAUAACCUCAAUUCAAUCACAAUUUCUCACAUUUUCAAUUCAAUCAUUUUUCCACCUUUUAAUCAAUAUUCAAUCCAUAUAUUCACACAUUUUCACAAGUCAAUACAUUUUCAUUCAAUUCAAUAUCAAUACUCACCUUAAUUUCUCUUAGCAUGCAUAUUAAUCACUAUUCACAAUUAAUAAUAAAUAAAUUCAAAUUAUAGUAAUACAAACUAGGAAUUCCGAGCUGUUCCACGUCGACUUUAUCUUUCUCCCUUUUAGUCGAGGAUUCUGGUAUGAAGUUAGCUACAAAAUUAAAACAAUUAAUAAUUCAUCAAUACAACACAAUUCAAUCUCAUAUUAAAUAUUUUAAUUUUUAUCUAAUAUUUUCCUAAAUUUCAAUUUAGUCCCUAAACCGAGACUAACUUUAUUUCUCACAUUUAAUUCUUUAUUUUCAUGCAAAUUCCACUUUAGACUAAAUUCAACUCCCUAUUUUCACAGAAAUUCCUAAAUUUUGAAUUUUUCACAAUUUAGUCUCUAUUACACAAAAUUUACAAUUUAUUCUACAAUUCAAUCCUUUUUCAUUUCUAACUUGAAAAUCUAUCAAUUUAGUCCCUAAUACUCAAAUUAUUCAACAUAGACAACAUUUAAAAAUCAAUAAUUUCUAAAAUUUUGACAUGAGUUGGGUAGCAUUUAAUAUCGGGAUUCCAAAAACAUAAAAAUUACAAGAAAAUGGAUUGAAUUGACUUACCAAUUGAGCUUGGAACCCUUGAAAAUCGUAGCUUUUUCUCCUUUCUUUCUCUUUUUCUUUUCUUUCUUUCCUUCUCUGUUUCAUUUCUACUUUAGCUUUCUUUUUCUAUUUCUAUUUAUUUAUUCUUUCUUUAUUUGUUUUAUUAUAUAUAAUAUAAUAUAAUAUAAUAUAAUAUAAUAUAAUAUAAUAUAAUAUAAUAUUUAUACUUGUCGAAACCAUUUUCAAAUCGAGUUUUGGAAAAUGGGAAUCAAUUUUAAAAAUGCAAACGGGAGUCGCCACCAAUCUUUUUAGGUGUGAUUGGAUCACCUUUAAAACAUUUGGUUUUAAAAUCAUUAGUUUUGGUCCACGAAAUAAAAGAACGGGUUCGGGAGUCGGUUACGUACGAGGAAGGAUUAGCACCCUCGUAACGCCCAAAAAUUGGUACCUAAUUGAUUAUCAAAUGUCUUUAAUGUUGAAAGAAGAAAAAAAUUUAAGAUGUAGUCCUCUUUAGAAUAUUUUAACUUUGAAAAUUGGGAUUCACUAGCGUCAAAGUAUUGACAUUAAGUUAUCCCUUUUUUGAAAUUCCUAUCUCGAAACAGAAAAACGCUAUAUCCAAUAAGUUAGGACAUAUUGCUUUGAAAUUCCAAGAUAGUGGCUUGCAUUUAGAAAACCUCUAAAAAAACUUAGAAGGGUACUUAAUUAUUCGAAUUCAACGAGAAAAGUGGCAACCCAAUAAGUUAGGGCACUGCUUUCUCGAACCAAGCAUUGCCUUAUUUGCAAAAAAUCUUAUUUCGAGGUAACAAAUAAAUGAAUAAAACGAAUAAAAAGAUAAUAACGAAUAAGCUAGGAAAUAUUCGAGAUUAAAAAAAACUAGUAAUAAAUAAACAAUCAUUAUAUAAGACUAAAGAAUGAUAGUAUAGUGAAGAUAAUAAUAAUAUUAAUAGUAAUAAUACAAGUAAAAAUUUUGGAAUGAUGUGUGAAAUUAUAUAUAUGUAUGUGAAUAUAUAGAUAAGUAAACAAUAUAUAUAGUGAGUGAAGAGUAAAAGGUAAAAUAAGUGUAUUUAAAGAGUAAUGGGUAAAAAUAUAAUAAUAAUAUAAUAGUAGUAAUAACGUAAUAGUAUUAGAAAUAUACGAUAUAUAAUAUUGAAGGUAAAUACAUAAUAUAUACAUAUUAGAAAUAAUCAUAAUAUUAGAAACAACUAUUAAUAAUACUACAUAAAUAGAUAUAUAGUAGUAGCAUAUACAUGAUAUAGUUAAAAAUAUAUAAAGUAAGAUAAUAUGGGAAAUAAAAAAAAUAUAAACGAUAUAAUAUUAGGGCAUAUGCAAAACAAUAAAAAUACAAUAUUAAAAGAUAUAUAUAUAUAAUGUAUUCAUAAUAUAAUAUUAAAAUAUUUACAUGGUAUAUACAUAAUAAUGUAAAAAAUAAACUAUUAGUAAUAUUAUAAAUAUAUACAUAUAGUAGAAUAAUAAUAUAAAGGUAUUUCAUAUAAACAUGUAUGCAUGUAAAAAAAAAAAGAGAAAAAUAAUAAUUACAAAAGUAUGAAAUCAAAAUAAUAUGUAGAAACAUGUUUAUUCUAAAAAGAAUAACUAAAACUUAAUUGAGAGAAGAAACAAAACCCAAGAGAUAACUUACAAGUAAAACAAAUUAUUGAAACAAAAUUUUGGGCUAAAAUUAAUUGCGUAUAAAUGUCCGAGAUCUAAAAUUAAAAAUGCCCCAAAUCUUAAAAUACCGCGCAAAGGGGGCAAAUUGAAAUAGCACAUAGACUGCAGGGCCAAUUUAAAAUAAUAUAAAAAGCUUAAAUAUGGCCCGAUUGAAGGCUAGCACAAAGGAGGGGACCAAUUGCGUAAAUUACCCAAUUAAAGGUAACAUGCAUGGUCCCAAGCAAAAAGCUGAUUCCACUCCCCCCAUUCUACUUUGUUUUAUUAUUAAUCAAAAACACUUCCCAUGCUAUUUUGUUUUAUUGUUAAUUAAAACUAUUUCCCCAUACUAUUUUGUUUUAUUGUUAAUUAAAACUACUUUCUCAUACUAUUUUGUUUUAUUUUAAUUAAAACCAUACUUUAUUUUAUUUUUUUUAUCAUAAAAAAACCAUUUUUUUUAAAAAAAACAACAAAAAAAGAGUUAAAACAUCACCCUACCACCCUACAUUCAUUUUUCAAAAUAGAGAGAAGGCUCUCAACUCUCUCAACCCUUCCCCUCCUCCGAUUAUCGGACCAGCCAUCAACCGUCACGCCGGUCACUAGCCACCGACGGCGGCGGCGCCGUCCACGGUGGUCGGAAAAUCUUCCGAGACCUUUUUUUGCUUCUCUUCUCGAGUAGAGCCCCGAUUUGGGGUUAAAACGACCCAAAAACCUUCAAAAAUUAAUGAGAAGCACCCUAGAACUCAAGAAUCCAUUUGGUUUCCGGCCACCGAUCUUUGGCGGUGGCUUCCUCGGUCGUCCACGAUGUUGGAAAAUUGAACACCGGUAAGUUCCUUCCCUCUUUCCCUUUUGAACUUGUUUUCUCCUUUUGAUUUCUCCCAAAAAUAUCUGUAAUACAACCCCCUCUAAUACAAUCUCUUCUCUCCAAAAUACAAUCGAUUCCCCCCUCUCCCAUGGCACAAGGAACAUAGGGCUUUUAUAUAGCCCAAAAUCCAAAGAAAAAAUACAAAUAAUUUUAUUUUUUGGUGUUUUUCUUUGCUGUCCCUUUUUUUGUCUUCUUUUGCAGGUAUAGAGUGGUGGAGGCAAGUGGGUGUGCAGGUGGCAGACAACUGGUAGUGGCGUAGGUGGCCAAGGUGGGGUGACGGCUAGGGUUCAUCACCACUUUUCUUUGCUGAAAAUUGCUUAGGUUUGGGUAGUUCUAAUUUGGGCUGGUUUUGGGUACUGGGUUUGGGUAGGUUUAGUUAUUGUAAUUAGGUAGUUUUGAUUUUUGGGCUGUUUAACAUUGUAAAUGGACUUGGAAUUUGGUUAUGUGGAUUUUAUUUUUUGCUUGUUUGCUUGGGCCAAAAAUUGGCCAUUACAAUACUUAUAUGUUAAGUAAAAGAUAUUUUAAUAUAAUAUAUAUUAAAUUCAAAAAAAAAAUCUUCUUAUGUCGCCUCAUUUAUGAGCAAUGGCAUAAUUGCUUAUUUAGCCCUUUUAAUUUUUCUUUAAUCUAUAAUUCAACUUUCACUCUAUAUGAAAUUUAGUCCUUAUACCUAAUUACUUUUAAUUCAAGCAAAUUCACUUAACUGAAACCUAAUUAACUACACAACUAGCUUCGUAAAUAUUUUUAAUAAAUAUUUAUGAAUCUGAUUUAUGAUAAGAAUUUUUUUAAUUUGAUCAUUUUUAAUUAAUUAACUAUCAAAAUGUUAAAAUUUUCUAACAAAACUUUAAUACUAACUCAAUGACACUCAGUAAAUAUUUAUAAAAAUAUUUACGGCUUGCUUUGUGAAAUUGAGGUCUCGAUACCUCAGUUUCAAAACUAAUUAAUUUGAUAAAUAUUUCUAAAGCACAAAUCUCUAAUUCAUAAGCCUUUCUAAAUUCAUGGUUGGCUUAUAAAUACUAAAUAAUAAUUUAUAAGCUCACUUGUCAGAUUUUAGUGGUCUCGAACCACUUUUUCUGACAUCACUGAAAAUUGGGCUGUUAUAGUUAAAGCCCAACUAAGUAAAGAAUUUGAAUUGAAAGAUUUGAGACCAGCAAAAAAGAUACUUGGUAUGGAGAUUCUUAAAGAUAGAAAAGUAAGUAAAUUGUACCUAAGUCAGAAUGGUUACAUUGAGAAAGUUCUUUGCAAGUAUGCAGAGUGCUAAACCUGUUAAUACUCCUUUAACAGCCCAUUUCAGACUUUCAUCAACUUUGUCUCCACAAUCAGAUGAUGAGAUUGAGUACAUAUCACAUGUUUCAUAUUCUAGUGCAGUGGGAUCUCUCAUGUAUGUUAUGGUUUAUUCACGUCUAGAUUUAUCAUAUACAGUUAGUGCAAUUAGCAGAUACAUGGUGAAUCCUGGUAAAAAACACUGGAAAAUAGUUCAGUGGAUUUUAAGAUACUUACGAGGUACUACUGAUAUUUGCUUACAGUUUGGAAAAACUAGAGAUGGAGUUAUUGGGUAUGUUGACGCUAAUUUUGCUGGAGACAUUGAUAGAAGAAGAUCUCUCACAGGUUACGUCUUUACAAUUGGAGGUUGUGUAAUCAGUUGGAAAACCACUUUGCAAACUACAAUCACUUUGUCUACCACUGAAACUGAGUACAUGGUGAUUACUGAGGUUUGUAAAGAAGCCAUUUGGUUGAAGGGACUCUUUAGUGAACUCAAUGAAGACCUUCAAAUCAAUACAUUAUUUUGUGACAGUCAAAGUGUCAUCUUUCUUACAAAAGAUCACAUGUUUCAUGAGAGAAUAAAACACAUUGAUGUUCAGUAUCAUUUUGUUCGUGAUAUUAUUACUCGUGGUGAUAUUGUUGUGAGCAAAAUUAGUGCUCAUGAAAAUCCUGCAGAUAUGAUGACUAAGUCACUUCCCAUAACCAAGUUUGAGUAUUGCUUAGACUUGGUUGGUGUUCAUCGUUGAAGUUAAGCCCUUAAAGGGUUUUAUGGAAGAUGUUGAGAACUUGUUCGUUAAGAGUUCGUGAUGAAGAACUUGUUCAUUAAGAAUUCGUGUCAAGGUGGAGAUUGUUAGAAUUGAGUGGCCUGAAUUCUUGUUUAAAUAAAAUAUAGUGGUAAAAUAAAAUAAAAAUAAAAUCCAUACAAAACUACAUUUCUUUUAUUUUAUUUUAGAAUAAGGUUUUUUCAAAUCUUAUUAAACUUUAUCUAUUUGAUAUUAAUUAGAUUAAGGUGUUUCAAUCUUACUACAUUCCUAUUAAAAUAUGGUUUUACAAGCCUAUAAAUAGACAGAGUCUACUUCUCUUGUAAUCAUUAUGUAGAAGCCAUAGUUACAAAAUUUCAAUCUAAUAUCUAGAAAUGAGAAUGAUUUAUGAUCCUUGAAUGUUCGAUCUUCUUGUGCCGACAAAUCAAACAAAAAAAUCGAAAGAGAAAAUUUUAUUAUAAAUAUUUUAUUAUUAAGUGGAUGUCGAUAAAUUUUGAUUUACUUUAAAUUCUAGUGGUCAUAAAAAGUAGAGUUUUAUUUCAUUUAUACUUUUUAUGUUUAUAAUUAUAUACUUUAGAGAAACAUUGUAUAUUAUUCUCAUUGAUCAAUAAAAUGCGCUCUCUUUUGCUCUCUCAUUUUCUUUCUUUUUACUCUCUAUCUUUUUAUUUUAUGACACGUCAUCAGUAUGAUGAUUCUCUAUUUUUUUUCACUUCAAAAUCUUUCAAAGUCGUUCCACAAAUCCAAUUCCUCUUUCACCUUAAUCUUUCAUCUUUGCAACUUAAUUUCCAGGAUGUUGAAAGAUCCAAUUUCAAAAUGGAUCAUGGUUCUUAUUCCUGGUAUUUGAUUUAUCAUUGUACAAGCAUGGUAAAGUAUAGAUUUGGUAAGAAACUUUUAUAUUUCAAUCAUAUUUCCUUUUUCAAUGAAUGUAUGACUACUACUAUUUUUUAUUUGACAUAAAUUUCACAUUAUGAUGGUAUUUGAUUUUUGUCUCUCUAGGUUAAUUUUAUUUUUAUGUAAAAGACAUAAUUGUUGAUUAGAUGAAUCCCCUUUGAUUAGAUUCAAUGUUUUGUCAUGAGUUAUUUAUUUUCUUUCAUAAUUGAAUUAUAAUUAACUUAUAUAUCAAAAUUAUUAAGUGAUUUUCCAUGUGCUCUAUUAAUGAAUAAAAUAUUUAUUGUUUUUUUAAAUAUAUAUUAUCUUAACGUUAUUUAUAUAUAUGCCAUGUGAGAUGGUAUUUUGUCUCUAAAUUGGUUUCUUACUUUCAGCUAAAUUUUAUGGAAUUAUUGAAUUAUAGAGAUUUCAAUCAAAUUUUAUGGAAUUGUGGAUGAAGCAUUAAGAAUUUAUAUAUAUUUGUGAUAUUAUUAUGAAUUAUGUGAUUUAAUUAUAAAUUAUAUCUUGAAAAAAUUUUCAAGAGUUAAUAUCAUAUUUAUUUAUGAUUGAACAAAAUUUUUUAAUCACGAAAUUUAACCAUUCCCUCAAGAGAAUGUAAAAAUAUGUAACAAAUUCGAAAGAUAUAAUCUUGGACAUAAAUAUAAUAAGUUGGACUAUAAUAAUAGCCAUAGAGGACGGUCAUGAUAAAUUUUCUCACCACUAUAAAUGGAAAAAAAAUGAAGAAAGUAAGAAACGAACAAGAAUUCCCAAUAACUCUUUAAGGAGUGGAGAUAACGUAUGUUAUUAAUAUGGUACAGAAAGUUAUUAGUUGCAUACCUAUACACCUAAACAUUUAGUUGAACUCUAUCAAAUUCCUAUCAAAUGGAAAGGAGACAAUGUAACAGCUCAGUUUCGGUGAAAUCGGAACAGUGGUUUUGGGAUCACAAAUCAAAGCCAAAAAAUAAUUUUUUUUAUUUUAUUUUAUGGUUCGUAAUAUGAUAUAAAUAUCAUUUGAAAAUUUUGAUAAAAAAAAUUUACCGAUUAUGUGUUUAAUUACGGGAAGGACCAAAUCGCAUAAAAUGCAAAAGUUGAAUUCUAGUAGCUAGAAGGAUCCAAUAGCUAUGGAAUUCAAAACUUAAAGUCCUUAUAUGGUAAUUAGACCAUUAAUAAAAAUUUAGUAUAUAUUUUUGGAUUAUUCAUCCAUGGAAAAUUAGAAAAAGGCUAAGGACUAAAUUGGAAAUUAAAAAUAUUAAAGAUGAUAAAUUAAUUAAAUAGAAAUAAAAAUCAUUUUUAUUAUCUUCUUCCCCAAAAUAUUCCAUGGAAACCCUAGGAGAGAGAAAGGAAACUUUCUUGGCCAAAUUGGGUAAGUUUUCUUAUCCUGUUUUUAGUAAUUUUGAUAUUUUUGAAAUCGAGAUAGUUUAAUCUAUCUGUUUGGGGAAUCAAUUUGAAAAGUUAUCAAAGUACAAAAAUUAUUUCAUGGAUGAAUAUGCUGAAAAUUUGAAAUUUAUGGUAGAAUAUGAAAGGUUGUUGAUAGAUAAACAACUUUUACAUAGCAAUUUUUGAUGAAAACAUGAUUUAGGGACUAAAAUGUAAAGUUGAGAAAAUUGAAGAAAAAUUCUGGAUUUUUAUAGAAUACAUGUGCUGUAAAUUUUAUAUUGAAUUUUUUGUUAGGCUUGGAAUAAGGAGUAAAUUGCAUAAAUUUCAUUUUUCGACUCUAGGGACGAAAUCGUCAUUAAUUAAAAGUUUAGGGGUAAAAUGAUAAUUUUUCCUAAGAUGUGAGUUGGACUGAAUUGAGUUUAAAUUGUAUUAAAUUGAUGUUAAAUUAACUCAUAUAGAUAUGGAUAGACCAAAUUUGGAGUUAAAACGAGGAAAAGAGAAAAAUGUUGGAAUAGUAGAUUUUACGUAUAUGAACAUUUGUCUAGGUAAGUUCGUGUAACUAAAUUUUGUAUAUUUAUAUGCUUUAAUUUAAUGUUUUUUUUGUGGAUUGUAUAAAUAUUAUAUAUAUAUGACAUUGAAAACGUAUCAGAUAAAGUCCGGUCAAUGAUAAUGCCCGAUAAAUGAUAAAUGAUAAAAAUGUUACUUUUAUGCUUGAAAUGAAUGUGAAAUGUAUUUAUUUGAAUUAUAUAAAUCUUAUAGAUGUAUGAAAUAAUUACAUUCCCGUUAAUGCCUGAAAAAUGUUUAAAUCCUGGUUGAAUAAAUGAAAAUUCGAUGGAUAUGUGAUUUCCUGAAAUGCAUGAGGUCCUACAUUUGUUGCUGACGGGAUUUAGUUCAGACGAGUAUUCUAUUGACCUAAUUACAUAAAGGAUUUAGCCCGGACGGGUAAUCCUGAUAUAAGUCCUCUCAAGCAUAUGUUAUGGAUUGAAUUUAGCCCGGACGGGUAAUCCAGAUCAAGCUCUUUAGAGCAUAUGUCAUAAAAAGGAUUUAGCCUAAACUGAUAAUCCUAUAGUAUGCAUGUGUGGCUCGAGAGUGUACUCUCUGAAAUAAUACUUUAUGGAUACCAUUGAAUAUGAAUUGACGGAUCCUGAUUUGUACACCUUGAGUGUACUACCUAUGUAUCCAUCGAUAUUUCAAAUAAAUUCAACGGAUGACAAUCCAGACAUGAGAAGAUAUGAAUAAUAAAAUGAGUUUUUGCACGUAUCCAUCUGAAAUACAAGAAAAUAAUGAUACAUGACAAGUGAUAUAUGAAAGUAUGAGAUGAUAAUAUUUGUAUAUGGAAAUUAUUUGAUGAGAAUGUUAUCCUUGAUUAUAGACCUGUACACCUUGAGUGUACUACUACUCAUGUGACCUUGAUAUUUCGAAUGAUAUGAAUAAAGUUUUGACAUGAAAUAAUCUGAACUCAAGAUGAACUAUUAUGAAAUUGUACUUGUAAUAUAAGAAAUGAUUUAUACAUGUUAAAUGAAUACAUGUUGUGGAAAUCAUAUGUGCAUGGAAACUUGAUUGUUGUUGAGCCCAUAUAUGUUUUGAUGUUAUUAUGAAAUAUAUGACUAACAAGGGCAAUGAGGAUAUGUGUAGGGCUUGAGGUCAAAUUGAUUGAAUAUGUCUUACAUAGUUAACUCAAAAUAGAAUGAAUGGUAAGUUAAGUACCAUGUUAUACAAACUUACUAAGCAUUUUAUGCUUACUUAGUUUUAUUUCCCUGUUUUAGAGUAAAUCGGAAGCUUGUUGGAUUGGAAGCUUAGUGGAGAUCACUCACACUAUCCAUCAGGCCAUGUCGAUACAAUAUGGUAAAUCAAUUAUGGUUUCAAUGGCAUGUAUAGGUUAUAUUGGUCAUAUUGAUAUGUAAAUGUAAAUGAUUAUUGUAAUCUAGUCAUUGGAAUGGCUAGUGAUGAUUAUAUAUUGAUAUACAUAUAUAUAUACAUAUUAAGGUUACUUCAUGGUGAUAACAAGUGUUUAUUAUUGAUUAAUUGAGAAAGGUUAAACAAGUAUGCUUAAUAAGGUAAGAUUAAAAGCAUGAAAUCAGGUAACGAUAUACCAUGCUAAAUGGUAGAAUUAGCAUGAUUAAAAUGCUUGGAUUGGUUAGUUUAUGAAUGCAAGUUUUGGUGUAGGUUUAUGGUAAGGUUUUGGGUGAGAAAUGAAGUUAGAAAUGUCUUUAUUUUGUCCACACAGGUAGACACACGAGCGUGUGUCUUCACCGUGUGUGAAACACGGCUUAGCACAUAGGCGUGUGGCCUGGUCGUGUGUCCCCUACACCCUAAAUUUGAGAAAAAGAAUGCUCAGAAUUGAGCACACGGGUAGAGACACGGGCGUGUGUCUUAGCAGUGUGUGUUACACGGCCUAGCACACAGGCGUGUGGCAUAGGAGUGUGCACAAGUUAGAGAGUUACACGGGAUCAAACACGGCCUGUAGCACGGGUGUGUCCCUUAGGCCACACGGGCGUGUAAGCCUUGUAACUUAGAAAAUUUUUGAAAUGUUGCGAAAAAUUCUUCGAAUUUCUGAUUAAGUCCCGACAUGAUUCUUGUAGCACCCCAAACCCGGCCCAGACGUUGUGACCGGAUCCGACAUGCCACAUCGAAGCGUUCAAAAUAUUUUAUAUUGUUGAUCCUGAAAAACUUACUUAGUGUUUUAAAAGAUAAUUUCAUUAUAGGUUAAAGUGAAUGGAAGCUGUGCACCAGGUAGGAAACCGGAAAAGAGGUGGUGAGUCCAUCGGACUGCUUAAGUACCAAGCUCUCUUUGGAUCCAAUCCUAAACAUGCAUACCGCCAUUGCCACACCUUAACGUCAUGGAUAUUUCUAGGAAACCGAUUUGAUUAAGUAUCUUUAGGAAAAGUGAUUAAUUUUGGAAAAUACUUUCAUUGCGGAAGCUUUGUUUGUUGUCGUAUUAUUUUGAAAUCAAUUGUUGUUUUUGAAAACGCGCCCUAAAGCUAUCCAAUUUCAACAGUUAAAAUAAGUAAUACCUAUCUUAUUAAUACAUAUUAAAACCAUAAAAAAUAAUUAAGCGGCCUUAUUACAUUUAAAAACCCAAAACUUCAAACGUAAAUAAAAGGAUGUCCAGUUCACCAGAAGAAAAUCAAACUUUCAGAACGGGUGGCCACUCCGAAUUCCUUCACAGCUCCAAGCCCACUAUGGUUGGGGAUUACCUGCGUGGAUGAAAAUAAAAGGGGUGAGUUUGGGGAAACUCAGUGUGUAAGGAAAACCCAUUCAAAACCCAAGUCAGAUCAAGCCUAUUGGGCAUAAGCCCAUUUAGGUAACAGUGGUACUGGACCAGAGCCCUUUUCAGAUUACAAUAAACUAGGCCUUAGGCCCUUAUUCAGAUAACAGUAUGGCCCACAGGCCCAUUUUAAAAUACAUGCAACAUCAAUAACAUAUGCAAGCCCAUUUGGGGAGACUACUCAACCCACAAACCACUACACUCCACCCGUACCAGCCCUACACUCCAUGUGGGGAAUAGCUCAACCCACCCAGCCCAACACUCCACAGUUGCAGCCUUGCUGCUCAGUUAACAAUAAAUUGAGGCAAAGCCUCCAGUACGUGGACAAGCCACUUUCAGUACUUCCUCCGUCAAUAUCCCAAUCCCAUGCAUCAGAUAAUAACAACAUGGCAUGCAGUAAAUAACAACAGUCAAACAUGCAUUUAGGUCAAUUUAACCCUAGGGGUAUUUCGGUAAUUUAUCUACUAGGGGUAAAACUGUAAAUUUUCCACUUUUUAAAGGUAUUUCAGUAAUUUAUCUAUUUUAGGGUUUUUCAUGCAUAUUCCUACUUUUCACGUACUAACAGAAACACGUAUCGAGGGUUUUUACCGAAUUGGGCCCGUUGGCCCAUCAUUCCAAUUUUGGCCCAUUAAGCCCAAAAAUAUCAAGGGCACAGAAAUCAUGCACUUUGCAGUCCAAAUUUUGCAGCUUACCAAAAACAUUAAUCGAUUUACCUCACGAGCAUUCGCACACUCGCAAAUCUACAAAAUACCGGUUUUCGGCAUUUUGGCUUUUCAGCUUUUGCCGAUCCAGACUAAGAAAGAGGGUGUUAGUUACACACCUGUUUGCGACGAUAUGUUGACGAGAUCCACACAUGAACUGCCUACAAUUGGAUUACUAACACAUUAAUCUAACUAUUCAAAUACGAACUACGUAUUAACCCCUUACAAUAUUCGGCCAACCACACCUACAGAUCAUAGUAAGCUUAUAAGAAAACAAUAAGCAACUUAUUAACAAAUUGUUGUUAAUGUUUACCACAUAAUCAUAAUUUCACUGCAAGCUGUCUUCCUGAGCAACAGUCACUAAAUUAUUUAUAACUGGAGCUACGAAACUCCAAAUCAAGUGUCGUUAAUUUUCCCAGAAAAUAGACUCAUAUAUCUUCUAUCCAUAAAAUUUUCAGAAUUUUUGGUAUGGCCAAUCAAUACCAGAUUUUUCUUAAAGUUUCCCAUGUUUCACUGUUUGACUAAUCUGACCACUCUUCAUUACGAAUCAAAUUUCUCAUUGUAAAGAAUUCAAAAUAUGUUCUCAUUUAUUCCAUUUGAAACUAGACUCAACAAGCUUUAAUUACAUAAUUUAUUCAGCUUCAAAUUCAUCUCCCACAAUUUAUGGUGAUUUUCCAAAAUCACGUUACUGCUGCUGUCCCAAGCAGAUUUAUUACCAAAUUCACUCUUUCACACAUAACCUGUAUGCAUGUUAUUUAAACAUGUAUAUCACCAAUCAGUCAUCACAUAUCUAUGAUUUUACUUAAGUAUAAUCUCUAUUUCAUCAUUUUAAAGCACAACAUGUUAGCCGAUUUUUUCCCUUUAGCAUCUAAGGCACGUGCAUGUUCAUUUGUUUGGCUCAACUUCACCUAUCUUCCAUUUUUCAUCAAAAGAACAUGAAACAACAACCAUUUCCUUCAUUUUAAUUCAUGACUAAAUGCUCACAACACAACUAAAAACCAAAAUAUGCUUCAAGAGUUAAGGUAGAAUCAAGAAGAACUCAUGAACCUCAAAAUAAAAGCAAACUACCAUGAACUUACCUUCAAUUUUUCUUCCCCAAGUGACCGAACAUUCAAGAGCUUUCUCCUCUCCUUUCUCUUCUCUAACUUUAGGCUAUGAUGAACAAAGAUGGACAAAACUUUGUUCUUUUCACCCCUUUUUUUUUAAUAAAAUUUCAUAUUUCAUCCGUUUAAUUCUUUAAUACAAAAGACACGAAAUUCCCAUCUUGGAACAUUUACCUAAACCAUUAUCAUGGAACAUUUACCUAACCCAUUAUCAUGGAAUAUUUACCUAAUCCAUUAUCAUGGAGUAUUUACCUAACCCAUUAUCAAUUUGUACCAUGAAUUAUGGAUAUCAAGUGCUCAUAUUGUCUACAACAACAUGAUGGCUGGCCACUUCAUGUAAAAUGGGAGGUUUGUCAUGCAAAUUCUCCUAUUUUGCACUCCUAUUUAUUUGGCCACUUCAAUUUAGCCUAUAGCAUUUUUAAAAAUUUUCACAUAGGUUCUAUUUCAUAAUUUCACCCCCUUUUUCUUAUGGAACAAAAAUUAACUAAAAUUGUCGGGUUCUAUCUUAAGCUUGGGCCUUCUAGAGGCCCACCAACAUAAUUAAACCUAUGCCAACAUUCACAGAAUUCCCGAAAAUUGGGGCGUUACAACUCUACCCUCCUUAAAGAAAUUUCGUCCUCGAAAUUUACCUGAUCCAACUAGUUAAGGGUAUUGUUGACGCAUAGUCUCUUCUGAUUCCCAAGUAGCUUCUUCCCUUCCAUGAUUAUACCAAAGUACUUUCACUAACAGGACAGAUUUCCUUCUGAGAACCUUAACAUCUCGAGCCAAUAUUUGCACAGGCUCCUCCUCAAAGGUCAAAUCAAUCUGAACUUCAAUUUCUGCAACUGGCAGGACAUUAGCAGGGUCAGCACGAUAACGCAUUAACAUGGAGACUUGAAAAACAUCGUGAAUCCUGUCUAACUCUGUUGGCAAUUCCAAUUGAUAAGCCACUGGGCCUACUCGCUUCAAAACCCGAUAAGGCCCAAUGAACUGCGGACUCAACUUGCCCUUCUUACCAAACCUUAAUAUCUUCUUCCAAGGAGAAACCUUUAAGAAGACCAUAUCACCUACUGAGUACUCAAUCUCUUUACGCUUCAAACCUGCAUACGACUUUUGCCUAUCAGAUGUUUCUCUUAACCGGUCCCUAAUUAUUCUGACAUUAUCCUCAGUAUCAGCUACCAACUCUGGUCCAAGAACUUGUCGCUCUCCUAGUUCGGUCCAACAACUAGGUGUACGACACAUUCGUCCAUACAGUGCUUCAUACGGUGCCAUUCGAAUACUCGCCUGGUAACUGUUAUUGUAUGCAAAUUCUGCCAACGGCAAGUAAUUCUCCCAACUACCUCGAAAGUCAAUCACGCAUCCCCUCAACAUGUCCUCCAGAAUCUGAAUAACCCUUUCCGAUCGACCAUCAGUCUGGGGAUGGAAAGCCGUACUAAAAUUCAAUCGCGUCCCCAACGUCUCAUGCAACCUUUGCCAAAACCGAGAUGUAAAUCUGGGAUCCCGAUCAGAAAUAAUUGAAACUAGGACUCCAUGAAGUCGUACAAUCUUCGCCACAUACAGCUUGGCUAACUUUUGAAGUGAAAAGUCAGUACGAACAGGUAUGAAAUGGGUCGAUUUGGUCAACCUAUCCAUAAUCACCCACACCGAGUCUUUUUUUGAUGGUGUCAAGGGUAGCCCACUCACAAAGUCCAUGGUUACCCUCUCCCACUUCCAAAGUGGUAUCUUCACUGACUGUAACAGUCUAGAGGGUAAUUGAUGCUCAGCUUUCACUUGCUGGCAUGUCAGACAUUUCCCUACAAACUCCGUUACUUCUCGUUUAAGUCCAGGCCACCAGUAUAAUUCUCGCAAGUCAUGAUACAACUUAUUCCCUCCAGGAUGCAUGGCACAUAGUCCCCCAUGAGCUUCCCUCAAUAUUGUCUACCUUAAAUCAGAGUCCUUCGGAACACAAAUUCUUCCUCGGAAACACAGAACUCCAUCACCAUUUAAACCGAACUUAGAAGUUUCCCAUUCCUUAACUUGUUGAAAACGAGCAACCAAAGACUCAUUUUCCAACUACUUUUCCUUAAUCUGGUCCACCCAGGUUGGCCUUACUUGCAAUUCAGCCAACAAACUGCCAUCAUACAGACUCAAACGAGCAAACAUUGCUUUCAGAUCAGAUACAGUUUUACGACUUAAACCAUCGGCUACCACAUUAGCCUUGCCUGGGUGAUACUCGAUCGAACAGUCAUAAUCCUUAAGCAACUCAAUCCAUCUCCUUUGCCUAAGGUUCAGCUCCUUCUGAGUCAACAAAUACUUAAGACUCUUGUGGUCUGUGUAUAUAAUACACCUCUCCCCGUACAAGUAAUGUCUCCAAAUCUUAAGUGCAAAUAUCACUGCCGCCAACUCCAAAUCAUGAGUAGGAUAGUUCCCUUCGUGAGGUUUAAGCUGUCGUGAUGCAUAUGCAACCACCUUACCCUCCUGCAUUAACACGCAGCCCAAACCCACGUGUGAUGCGUCACUGUACACAGUAAAAUCCUUCCCAGACUCCGGCUGAAUCAACACAGGUACUUUAGUCAAAACUUUCUUCAACUUCUCAAAAGCUUCCUGCUACUUCUCAGUCCAUACAAACGGUACUCCUUUCCUUAUGAGUUUUGUCAGAGGUGCUGCCAUCACAGAAAAACCUUCCACAAACCUUCUGUCGUAUCCUGCCAACCUUAGGAAACUUAGAAUUUCCGACACCGUCCUAGGUGGCUUCCACUCCAAAAUUGCUUCAAUCUUUUGAGGGUCCACCUUAAUCCCUUCGGCAGAGACCAUAUGUCCUAAGAAGGUUACCUCCCUCAACCAAAAUUCACACUUGCUGAACUUCGCAAAGAGUUCAUUCUCCCUUAACACUAGCAGCACUAUACGGAGAUGCUCAUCAUGUUUCACUUCAGUUUCAGAAUAUACCAGGAUAUCGUCAAUAAAGACGACUACGAACUGAUCUAAAAAUGGUUGGAACACACGAUUCAUCAGAUCCAUAAACGCUGCAGGAGCGUUCGUCAGUCCAAAUGGCAUAACCAGAAACUCGUAAUGACCAUACGGAGUCCUGAAUGCUGUCUUAUGAAUAUCUGCCUCCUUGACCCUUAACUAAUGAUAUCCAGAUCGAAGGUCGAUCUUGGAAAAUACAGAAGCCCCUCUAAGCUGGUCAAACAGAUCGUCAAUCCUUGGCAGUGGAUACUUAUUCUUAAUUGUCAGUUUGUUCAACUGGCGAUAAUCAAUGCACAUCCGCAUUGUACCAUCCUUCUUCUUCACGAAUAGCACCGGUGCUCCCCAUGGAGACACGCUUGGCCUAAUGAAGCCCCUAUCCAACAACUCUUGAAUUUGUGCCUUUAGCUCCACCAACUCCUUCGGUGCCAUUCUAUACGGUACGAUAGACACUGGUGCCGUUCCAGGCAACAAAUCUAUUCCAAACUCAACUUCUCGGUUCGGAGGCAAUCUUGGAAGCUCCUCCGGAAAAACAUCUUGGAACUCCUUUACAGUCCUAACCAUAUCCACUGACAAUCCCUCCCCUUCCGACUGACUUACAAAUGCCAAAUAGGCCUCACAACCUUUCUGAAUCCACUUCUCGGCUCUUAAUGCCAACACCACAUUGGAAAAAUAAUCCCUUCGCUCAUCUAUCACCAUAACCUCCUCAUCCUUUGUGGUCCUUAACACUAUUCGUUUAGCAGCACAAUCCAGAGCCGCCCUAUACUUAACAAGCCAGUCCAUUCCCAGAAUGAGGUCAAACUCUCCGAACGGUAACUCCAUCAGAUCUCCAGGGAAAACCUUGCCUUGAGUUUCUAAGGGUACAUCCCUAUAUAGUUUGUCUACCCUAACCGAGUGACCCAAAGGACUUAGUACAGAUACCCCACUCACAAUCUCCUUAGAGCAGUCCAAGUUAUCCAUAAUCCAUUCUGUGGCCUCCAACCAAUAUUCCGUCACAUUCGGGGCUAUACCAGACACGCCCCUAAAGAUCUUUGCUCCAUUAGCCCGAAGUCGUUCAGAAAUAGAUCCCCGAACUCUAUUGCCCAUACUUACACCGGCAACCCUUUCCAGAACACGAAGCAUUGCCUGUGACAGGGCAUCAUCCUCAGCACUGCGGUCAUGAGACUCUACCUCUGUUGUCAGUGGUACCGGUGCAUCCACCGCCGGCAUAUGUCUCGAAGACGAAGAUCUUGCUCGAGCACUUCUUCGGCUCCGUUCACGGCCUCUUGUACUCAUAUCGUAUUAUCUUGAUUACGAUUUUUUAUGCAUCAAUUAAUAUUCCAAUGUUUAUUACAGAUGUUUUAAGAAUCAGACAGUAGUUCAGAGUUUGUUUUCGUAGAAUCGAAGUCUAGCUACAGUUUCAGUCUCUUAUCAGAUUUUCCUAUGGUUUCAGUAUCAUCCUAUCUAGAGUAUCCUAGCAGGAUUUCAGUACAGACAGAUAAGUCAGAAAAAUAUUCAGAAGAGUUUAGAGUAAUACUUACAGGCUUGGGUCGGAGAUUCGGAAUGCCACCUUCUAAAUAUCUAAAUUUUGAAAAUCGAGUUUUUCGCAUUCUUUAUAAAAUUUUCGUUUUCGAAAAUCUUUGUUUUUGUAAACCUAUUCCACAGCCGAGUUGUUACAACCUAGGCUCUGAUACCACUAAAUGUAGCACCCCAAACCCGGCCCAGACGUUGUGACCGGAUCCGACAUGCCACAUCGAAGCGUUCAAAAUAUUUUAUAUUGUUGAUCCUGAAAAACUUACUUAGUGUUUUAAAAGAUAAUUUCAUUAUAGGUUAAAGUGAAUGGAAGCUGUGCACCAGGUAGGAAACCGGAAAAGAGGUGGUGAGUCCAUCGGACUGCUUAAGUACCAAGCUCCCUUCAGAUCCAAUCCUAGACAUGCAUACCGCCAUGGCCACACCUUAACGUCAUGGAUAUUUCUAGGAAACCGAUUUAAUUAAGUCAUUUUUAGGAAAAGUGGUUAAUUUUGGAAAAUACUUUCAUUGCGGAAGCUUUGUUUGUUGUCGUGUUAUUCUGAAAUCAAUUGUUGUUUUUGAAAACGCGCCCUAAAGCUAUCCAAUUUCAACAGUUAAAAUAAGUAAUACCUAUCUUAGUAAUACAUAUUAAAACCAUCAAAAAUAAUUAAGCGGCCUUAUUACAUUUAAAAACCCAAAACUUCAAACGUAAAUAAAAGGAUGUCCAGUUCACCAGAAGAAAAUCAAACUUUCAGAACGGGUGGCCACUCCGAAUUCCUUCACAGCUCCAAGCCCACUAUGGUUGGGGAUUACCUGCGUGGAUGAAAAUAAAAGGGGUGAGUUUGGGGAAACUCAGUGUGUAAGGAAAACCCAUUCAAAGCCCAAGUCAGCUCAAGCCUAUUGGGCCUAAGCCCAUUCAGGUAACAGUGGUACUGGACCAGAGCCCUUUUCAGAUUACAAUAAACUAGGCCUUAGCCCCUUAUUCAGAUAACAGUAUGGCCCAUAGGCCCAUUUUAAAAUACAUGCAACAUCAAUAACAUAUGCAAGCCCAUUUGGGGAGACUACUCAACCCACCAACCACUACACUCCACCCGUACCAGCCCUACACUCCAUGUGGGGAAUAGCUCAACCUACCCAGCCCAACACUCCACAGUUGCAGCCUUGCUGCUCAGUUAACAGUAAAUUGAGGCAAAGCCUCCAGUACAUGGACAAACCACUUUCAGUACUUCCUCCGUCAAUAUCCCAAUCCCAUGCAUCAGAUAAUAACAACAUGGCAUGCAGUAAAUAACAACAGUCAAACAUGCAUUUAGGUCAAUUUAACCCUAGGGGUAUUUCGGUAAUUUAUCUACUAGGGGUAAAACUAUAAAUUUUCCACUUUUUAAAAGUAUUUCAGUAAUUUAUCUAUUUUAGGGUUUUUCAUGCAUAUUCCUACUUUUCACGUACUAACAGAAUCACGUACCAAGGGUUCUUACCGAAUUGGGCUCGUUGGCCCAUCAUUCCAAUUUUGGCCCAUUAAGCCCAAAAAUAUCAAGGGCACAGAAAUCAUGCACUUUGCAGUCCAAAUUUUGCAGCUUACCAAAAACAUUAAUCGAUUUACCUCACGAGCAUUCGCACACUCGCAAAUCUACAAAAUACCGGUUUUCGGCAUUUCGGCUUUUCAGCUUUUGCCGAUCCAGACUAAGAAAGAGGGUGUUAGUUACACACCUGUUUGCGACGAUAUGCUGACGAGAUCCACACACGAACUGCCUACAAUUGGAUUACUAACACAUUAAUCUAACUAUUCAAAUACGAACUACGUAUUAACCCCUUACAAUAUUCGGCCAACCACACCUACAGAUCAUAGUAAGCUUAUAAGAAAACAAUAAGCAACUCAUUAACAAAUUUUUGUCAAUGUUUACCACAUAAUCAUAAUUUCACUGCAAGCUGUCUUCCUGAGCAACAGUCACUAAAUUAUUUAUAACUGGAGCUACGAAACUCCAAAUCAAGUGUCGUUAAUUUUCCCUGAAAAUAGACUCAUAUAUCUUCUAUCCAUAAAAUUUUCAGAAUUUUUGGUAUGGCCAAUCAAUACCAGAUUUUUCUUAAAGUUUCCCAUGUUUCACUGUUUGACUAAUCUGACCAUUCUUCAUUACGAAUCAAAUUUCUCAUUGUAAAGAAUUCAAAAUAUGUUCUCAUUUAUUCCAUUUGACACUAGACUCAACAAUCUUUAAUUACAUACUUUAUUCAGCUUCUAAUUCAUCUCCCAUAAUUUAUGGUGAUUUUUCAAAGUCACGUUACUGCUGCUGUCCCAAGCAGAUUUAUUACCAAAUUCACUCUUUCACACAUAACUUGCAUGCAUGUUAUUUAAACAUGUAUAUCACCAAUCAAUCAUCUCAUAUCUAUGAUUUUACUUAAGUAUAAUCUCUAUUUCAUCAUUUUAAAGCACAACAUGUUAGCCGAUUUUUCCCUUUAGCAUCUAAGGCACGUGCAUGUUCAUUUGUUUGGCUCAACUUCACCUAUCUUCCAUUUUUCAUCAAAAGAACAUGAAACAACAACCAUUUCCUUCAUUUUAAUUCAUGACUAAAUGCUCACAACACAACUAAAAACCAAAAUAUGCUUCAAGAGUUAAGGUAGAAUCAAGAAGAACUCAUGAACCUCAAAAUAAAAGCAAACUACCAUGAACUUACCUUCAAUUUUUCUUCCCCAAGUGACCGAACAUUCAAGAGCUUUCUCCUCUCCUUUCUCUUCUCUAACUUUAGGCUAUGAUGAACAAAGAUGGACAAAACUUUGUUCUUUUCACCCCUUUUUUUAAUAAAAUUUCAUAUUUCAUCCAUUUAAUUCUUUAAUACAAAAGACAUGAAAUUCCCAUCUUGGAACAUUUACCUAACCCAUUAUCAAUUUGUACAAUGAAUUAUGGAUAUCAAGUGCUCAUAUUGUCUACAACAACAUGAUGGCUGGCCACUUCAUGUAAAAUGGGAGGUUUGUCAUGCAAAUCCUCCUAUUUUGCACUCCUAUUUAUUUGGCCACUUCAAUUUAGCCUAUAGCAUUUUCAAACAUUUUCACAUAGGUUCUAUUUAAUAAUUUCACCCCCUUUUUCUUAUGGAACAAAAAUUAACUAAAAUUGGCGGGUUUUAUCUUAAGCUUGGGCCUUCUAAAGGCCCACUAACAUAAUUAAACCUAUGCCAACAUUCACAGAAUUCCCAAAAGUUGGGGCGUUACAAUUCUAAUGCUCGUAUUGGGCCUCAAAGGUCCAUUUAAGGGACAUUUUGAAUAAUCUCGAAAAAUGAACAAUGAUUGACAACAUUUAUCUGUAAAUGUUCUAAAAGCUCCAGUAAUGCUCUGUAACUCUGUUACGAUGAUGGACACGGGUUAGGGGUGUUAUAGACAAUGCGAAAAUGAAUAAUAAAAAUGAUGCUGAAUCAAUUUUGACAUAUCAGAUUGAUGAUUGUGACGAAUCUAAACUAUAAAGGGAUAUUAACAUUGUCUUUAUUAUAAUCCAUAUUGAGGAAUUUGUUGCUAGAAUUUAUUGCUAUUGAUAUUCAUUACUAAACUUUAAGUCAAUGAUUUUGUUUUGAUAUUUAUAUGUAGUCUUGUGGUUAAUUUUUUAAAAAAAUAUAUGUAUUUUGUUAAAUACGUAAUCUCUAGUAUGAGUUGCAUCCUUUUUGUGAAUUGUGACACUCAUUACUUGAUUAUUGGAUAUCUUUUUGGGGGGAGAGAAAUAAUAGCUGGAUGAGGAUAACCCACUUUAUUACAAGUUAACUUUCAAAUGUAUUUACAAACUUAAUGAGAAUAAUCAAGUGUUAUAUACCAUAUAAUAUUUUAAUUUGAAACAAAGUCCCACUAGGACAAUCAAUUAGACUAAAUGAUAGAUUGAUCAGUUCCAAAAACGAAAAUUCUUCUAGAUGGUUAUAUAGUAGAGGCGGGUGCUCCAGAAGAGACCCAAGACAUAACUAAUAACUAAAACUCCAUAAGAGAUUCAGAUACCUGAAACUAAAUAUUAAAAUAGUGAAAAAAAAAUAGGUAAGUUAUGUCAAUUCAAGAAAAUGUGGAAUCGAUAAUGAAAUUGGUCAACAAUAGCUUUACAUGUAAUAUUAUUGUUGAAAUAAUGAAAUAAAAGGAGAAUCUUGAAUAAAUAUAUUGAGAAAUAUAGAUAUGAAAUAUAUUGGUCAAAAUAAAAAGACGUAACUCAAGUACAAUUAAAUUUGUGGAGUUUUUGGACUAGUAAUCCAAAUAUCUAAAUAUAUAUAGGCAGUUAGUGUACAAAUGAAGUAGUUUUGCAAAAACGAAAUAAAAAUAUAAAGGUUUUCGCUAAGCCCUGUCGUUGAUUAUGAAAAGAUAUAAUAUUCUUUUGUGGUGGAUGCAAUAACCUUUAGAUAUAUUAUUGAACUGACAGUUCAUGAAAGAUUUAACACACGUCUAAUGGUUGUUACAACCUUUUAUAUGAAUCACUAUAUAGUAAAGUUUAUAUUAAAAUCUUUGAAGAAUUUAAAAUGCUAGAAACAUAUAGAAAUUCUCGAGAAAUUGUUCAUUGAAAUUUUUUGAAUAUAUGUGGUAAAUUUGACUUAGUGAAUAGUAGUUGAAGGAGGACUGUAAGAUGAUCCAAAAUACCUAUUUGUAUUUUUAUAGAAGAAUCAUGAUUAAAGUUAAAUAUGAAUAUUGUUGAAACUCUUAAAGAGAUCAAAAUAUAUUUUUCGAAAAUUUUCCCUCGCUCAUGACUUUAAAAAGAUUGGUGAUAUAAAUGUUUAGCAAAUACAUUCAAAUAGUCAUUUGAAAAGCUAGUACUCAAGAUUGACUAUGUAGAAUAUGAAAUAUUGUGUGAUGUUUUUGCGAGGGAGAGUAAAUACGCUUUGUACUCUUUUCCCUUAACCAAAGUUUUGUCCCAUUAGAUUUUCCUAGUAAGGUUUUUAAUGAACCGGCAUUUUAUACGUAUUAUAGAAAUGUGUACUAUUUUUCAUUUACUAGGAAUUUUUUCCCCACAAGGUUUUAUAUUAGUAAGGUUUUAACAAAACAUAUUAUCUACCAAUAGACAUUUAAGGAGAGUCUUAUGAAUAUUUUAUUAUUAAGUGGAUGUCAUCAAGACCAAAAUAAGUUUUGAUAUACUUUAAAUUCUAAUAGUCAUUAGAAGUAGAGUUCUAUUUCAUUUAUACUUCUUAUGUCUAUAAAUAUAGACUUUAAAGAGGCAUUGUAGAUUAUUUCUAUUGAUCAAUAAAAUACUCUCUCUUUUGCUUUCCUAUUUUCUUUAAUCUUUGCUCUCUACCUUUUUAUUUUAUAACAAAAACAAUUUUGUUCCCCUCUAUCAGUUUUAAUUAACUUUUUGAGGUUCAUUCUACGUUAAUUUAAAUUAAUUUUUGGAUAGUGAUUAAUAGAUUUAAAUUGUGUACAAUUUGAAUUUUUCAUAGGGGUGUUAUAGUCUUGAAGUUUUCAAAUUUCAAAGUGAGCCUAUUUUUAGUAAAAUUAUUUAUUCCGCUUAAGAUUAUUUGUUAAUAGGAUCAAUUAUAAUGAAACAUUUGAAUCACCUCUAAAACCCCAUAAUAUUGACUCUUUGUUAAGAGUUUUUCCAUAUAAAAAAUCGCAGUGUUUAACAUAUUCGGUUUAAACCAACAAAAAUGAAGAUAAGACACGCCAAAUCUACAUUAAUUUAAUUUCAUGGAACUCUACUUGCCUAGACGAUUUUUAUUUCACAUUGGCAUUGGGGAGGUAAGAACAUACAUGUCUCAUACUGCUAUUUCUCCGGUAAAGAACAGCGGCUAGGAUUUGUUUGUGAAAAAAGCAAGAUUUACACGGGGGAAGGAAUUCUAACACUCGGGUGCUUCAAUUUCUAUAUAUACAAUGCAAGUGGGACGAUCUCCUGUACAAAUGGAAUCCUAAUAUUCUAUAUAAACUGCCUACCAUUGAUUCUAUAUCUUGCUUGCACUUCCAUGAAUAACUAGUAACCCACCAAAACGAAGACACUAACUUGUAUCUUCCUGCUACCUAAUCCAACGCAGCAGCCGUCGGUCUUAACCUGGAAUUUCGACACCAACCAUCUCCUCUUUUUACGUAAAUUUCCUAUACGACUCAGGGAACAACCUUGAGUAAAUAACUUCCUUGAGUCUUACUACUAAAGCAUAGAUGCCAUAGGCUGGUAAGUGCAUCAUUCCGACUCCUAAGUACCUGUUCAGUCCGAAAUAGAAGCCGAGACGGAAUCAUGGUUAGCAAUGUACGUGUGUCUGUAGCAAAACAAACAUAACAGCAGUGAUUUUAAUGGAAGCAUUAAGUGUGUACCAUAACGGAGCAUAAGAAGGUGUCAAGUCAAGGAAUGGAUAUGGCCACGGAAUGUUAGAAUAAGCGUGGAGGACCCAUUGGAAUAAAACAUAAAUGCAGGUCCAUAAGAAAAAAUAUGCGACUCGAAAAAAUGGUAGCCGCUGCAAGGAAAAGGUAAAAAUUAGCUUCGUAAUUGAUCGCAAGGCAUAAGAAGUAAGAUGCCGCUAUGAGUAUCGACAAAAGAAAACUCACCAAGCAAUUCAAAAUUGUGUCACCAAGUAGGAAAACGACAUUGACCGAGUGCAUACAUAUAACAAGCAUCUGCAGUUGAAAGAGUGGACAUAAAUCCCAGAUAUAAAAGAAGAGCAACUCAACACUCAUUACACGAAAAGCUAACUGGCAACAGGUGAAAAUUCAGCAAAGUGUUUCCAUUUUCUAUAACCUAAGUUACUUGAUGGUAAAACCAACAAUUGAGGCACGGUAAAUGAUAGUUGCGAAUAAGUGCAGGAACCAAAAGACAUAUAACCAAACUUUUUUUACAAUAUUUAAGGAUAUAUAGUCUCAUAAGAGUCAGAGACAGUCAACAACUUUCAUUGUGUUCUGUUGUAAUUUGAGAACACUAAUUAAGUAAAUGUUGCAUGCCUGUUUUUUUUUAGGUUUACGGCGCACUGUAAUGCUGCAUUGUAAUAGAGAUAUUAAGGUAAAAUGGUAAAACUUCAUAAUUCAAAUGCUCAUACUUACCAAUUCAAGACCGUAUCCGGAAGUUAUAAAUGGAAAAAGAAUGAUCCAAAAUACUAAAUCAGUGAGCACCGCUGCACCCGCAGAAGCCUAUUCAAAGACAGCAUAUAACAAAUCAUGAAGUCAAUACACCCGAAAUUCGAACAACAUUGGAAAUUGAUUAGGAUUAAAAAAAAAAUAUACCUGAUAGAUAAUUUGAAAGGUAUAAAUCCAUGGACCAGCUAUUUUGCAGUCAUCAAAAUGUUGGGACUCGUUGGACGCAACUGUAGUUUCUCCAGGAGUGGGAGUUACUUCAGUGCCUUGCUCGAUAUCUGAACUUACAUGAUCAGGGCUAUCACCAAGAGCUUGUGCCCAGAUUUUUUGACAUCCGUAUAUGGAGACUGCAGAUCCAAGCUACAAUGAUAGUAGAGAAGAUCGACAAGUUAUGAAAGGAUAUUCUAGCAAUCUAAAACUGAUGGAACACCGUACUUGGAAACGAACAUAGAGAAAUGAUAAAAACGGUACAAGAGACAUACCAGAAAGUAUAUUGUGACCAAAGUAAAUGUCCACCUGUUAUAAUAAAAUAUAAACCAAAAAUUCAGCAACAAUAAUAUAGAUCAAAGGGAAACUCUUCAAUUCAAACUCCACGGUGAGGACUCUCAUUACAAAAAGAAAUAGACAACAUAGCUCUGUUAUACAUGGGUUACAACAUGCUCAUAAUAAGGAAACAAUUUCAGACAUUUACAUGCAUGUAAAGUAAAAGAAUAGGGUAAGUUGCAGAGAUAUAUGACUCACUGAGUAUAAAAGAUAAAUAUGCCAAUUCCAUCGACAAUGACAUUAAUGACAAGCAAUGUUAGAAGUGUGAUGAAAGCAAACAUUCUAAAAGCAAGCAGCCAAGCAGGGUGAAUGCAUUUGAAACAUGUACUCCAAGCUUCCUCCUCAUAUAUCACCCCUGGAGCUACCUCCUGAUUUUCCCUAUCCUGAUUUCUCGAUCUUCUUCGACCUUCGAAUUUGCAAAUUAAAAUUGUUGCUAGAGCCAAAUAGGCUAAGAGGAAUAAUGAACAAACUAGGAACCUCCAAUUCAACCAGUAACUCAAGGUGUUGGUUAUGGCAGUCAUGAUAGGCUGCCAAGAAUGUGUUGAGGAUCCUGUGAAGAUAACUGUAAUAAAAUUAAUCCUACUUGCUCCAUUGGUUACCGUAGUUUCUUUAUUAACAUUUCAAAUGCAGAAUGUUCAAAGAACAAUAAUGCCUAUCUACCCCAAAAUCAACUUAACUAAGUACAACAUGAUAUCGUUCAAAAAGGGUAGCUCUUAAAUUCAAAUAAAAACUGAAAACCAAACAGCUGAAAGCAAUUGAAUAAUCUUCAGCUGCCAAAAGGAUAGUGUCUUAAAAAGGAAAAACACAGAAAAUCUUUUUGAUAUAAAAUUUAGAUAAAUAUUAUUAAAAUUCUGGCUAAUGUUAUAGAAUUUUGCAAGGAGCUCUAGGAAGGAAUACCAUAAAUUUUUUUUUUAAAUCACAAAACAUAAAAUUAGAUUAGAAAAAUAAACAAGAUUCCAUACUUUAAAUGGUUCUUUCCAUAAAGCUGAGAUCAUAUUAAAAAUGGAAAAAUAGAAGGUUGACAUCAAAGAAAAAAGAAAGAUGGGCUUUAAGGCGCUUAAAAUUUACCUGUGUGGAAGAAAUUAGUCAAUGAAGCCGGCUGGGGCAGAGGGAAGACCCGUUUGGGCAGGUGAUCGGCGGUAUUGGGACUUUCUGAUUUCUUUAAAUUUCAGACAAUGGCAAUGGCAAUGGCAAUGGUUAUAUAAUUUGUUAUUGUUAUUUAUUAUUGAAUUAGAGGUUUAAUUGACGAGAAACAAAGAUUUCAUCCGAAAAAACAGACAGUGAAUUCGCAACCACAAGAGAAGACAAAGAUUUUCUCCAAAAUUCUUGGGACUUGGUUGUCUUCACUUAUAAUCCAAUUAUUAUAUAUAUAUUAUAGAAUAAUAAUUUUUAUCAUUUAUUAAAAAAAAGGAAAGAUUUUUCAACCUCAACAUGCAAAAACAAACUCGUUACAUGCUACUUAAUUUACUGGAUAAUCUUGUUAAAAAAACACUAUUAAACAAUUGUAUAACUAAUUAACUUUAUAUUAGUUUACGUUGAUGGCGUAGUUAAUUACAAACUAAGUGUAAACUUUAUUUCUAUUUUAAUAUGCUAAACAAGUUUAUGAAAAGACCAAAAAGAAAUUAUUCUACAAAAUACAAUAAUAAUAGCAAUUUACUGUUAAGGAAUUCUUUUAAAAAUAAUUUUUAUGUUUUCCGCUGUAUUUCUCAUAAUAUUAAAUUGAUUAAUAGUCUGAAAUAGUUCUUAUUUUUAUUUAGAAUUUUGUAAAUAAAAAAGAUUUAUGAUUAUGAUAUAGGUGGUAAUUAUAAAUGUGUUACCAUGAUUUUUUUUUUUAAAGGAGCAUGGAUGCUUCAUACUAUAAAUUUUUGAUAAUUCAAUCAAUAUUUUUAGGCAAAACAGGAGAUAUCUCGAUCGGGCGAGAGAACGGAGAAAUCCGACUCAAUAUAUUUGACAAAUCACACUAUAUGUUAAACCAAAUUGCAUCUUCCUCUCCUAGAUUUUGAAAAGAAACUUUUAAAACAUCAAUAGAGAUUAAAGAAAAAAAUAUUGAUUUGGAAGCGUAAUAAUGGUGUUAAUAAUAUUGACCUCCUAUUUUAUACAUAGAUAGAAUAAGGCCAUGCUUUAUCCUAUCCUUGAAUUCUAAUGCUACAAUUUUACCAUAAAAGUUUUCUUUUGAUAUAAUACUUAUAUUCUAAAAUAUUUUUAUCUAAGUAAUAAUAUAACGAAUUGUGGGUGUUAAGUUAAAAUUAAUUUAAUCUUUAUACAAUUUAAAUAUCCAUCAUUACAAAUUUGGAUGACAUAAGACUCCCACCUUUGAUUUUGUUAUACUAAUGUCCCGCCAAACACCACAUUGCCUAAAGACCUCAUCCAUUUACGGAACUCCCUCGUAUCUUAUUAAAAGCUCUGUUCAGAUUUUAUUUUUUCUAUUUUUACAAAUUUCUUUAAUUUAUUAGUUUUAUAUUCUAAAAUAUUCAAUAAAUUUAGCCUUAAUAUUUAUACAUUCACAUAAAUAUUGUAAGUCAAGUUUAUUAAAUCAUUAUCAAAUUGAUAUAAUCUGUAAACUUUAAGAAUUUAUUUAUUAUUAUAUCAAUUAAAAUUACGUGCAACUCACAGAAAAUAUUAACGUCAUAGUUAAUAAUCUUUAAUUACUUACUUUCUAAAAUAACAGAGAUUAAAUUACUUUAAUUUUUCUGAGAAGAAUCAAUUUACUUAAUUUCAAAAUUGAGAUGAAUUAAAUAGAUCUUUUUACCAAAUUUUUACAUAUCAAAUAUUUUUUACCUACAUUGUGGAUAUAGUAAAAUUUUAAUAUUUUAAAAUUAAAUAUUUAUUUCAAAUAUCAUUAUUUGAAAUAAAUAUGAUUUUUAUAUAUGAAUUUUUUUUUUGUAAGUGUGACAAAUUUUUAUAAAAUUAAAAUUGGCUCAUCUAUAACUAAGCCUUCGAACUUAAUACAAUAAUAAAAAAAAAUUUCUCUAAAUUUUUUACACUCAAUUGAGUCCUAAACUAAUAAAAUCAAACAAAUAAACCCUUUAACUAAUAUUGACCGUUAAUAUUAUCGUUACUAUUUAACGAUAAUAUUGACGAAACGAUUAACCAACACCGCAUUAACACUAAUUGCUAACAUAACUGUCAUAUCAAUAUCAAUUUACCGAUAUGACAAUGUCACAUCAGCAAAAAAAAUUAAAAUUAUUUUAAAAUAAAUAUACAAUUGUCAUUCAUUUACUAAGAUAAAUGUUGUCCAAGUCCAUUAAAAUCUGGACACCCAUUUUAUCUAAAUAUAUUUUGAAAUUAUAAAGACAUUAAAAAAUUAUAAAAAAUAUUAAAAAUCUUCUUCUUUCUCAUAAAUAAGUAAUGAGAAAAUGAAACAAAAGCAGCAGCGAUGAAAAGAGAGGGCAUAUGAAGAAUCCUACAUAGAUAUGUACAUUUUCUGAUUUUCCUGAUGAAGGAAAACGUGUAAAAAAUAAAUAUAUAGUAGUAUUUGAUAUAUUAUGCUUCAAACAGUAAAUUUUCGAUUUAUUGAGAAAUUGAAGGACUUAAAUGGGAUAUAAAUUUUAAAUCUACAGCUACGCAACACAAGUAGCUUGCCGUUUAGGGACAUGUAUAAUCACACCUCUCUUUCUACUCAGCCCCUAAUGAUGAAAUUAAUUUCAGUAGAUAUAUAUAACUACAGAAAUUGCAGCUCAGCAGGCUGACCUUGGCUGAUGAUCUGCCCUUAUAAACUUCAUUUUGAUUCCCUUCGGAGCCUUUCUGCUAUGUUGUCAACAGGUAAUAACCCUAGCGGGAUCGAUGGAUCGACCUCUUCAAAUGAGUUGUCAUCGUAAUACUCAUCAUCAAUGAUGUCAUCACUGCUGUAAAUGUCAUUUUCAUCCUCACUGUAAGAACCACCUUUGAACUCUGCCGAGGAACUACUGGAAGAACCAUCUUCGCUGGACAGGACUAAUGCUUCACAGGAAUGCUCUAUGGCCAGAGACAUGCCUUCAAAUUCCUCCACCUUAUCCAGAACAGCAUCCGGACCCAAAGCAAGCUCUUCCAAUAACAAUGCCUUGUUUGACUCGAUUGCACGCCUCCAGAGGGACAUCAUUUUUGGGCUUGAUACAACCCUUUGGGAAUCAGGUGUACCACUAUCAUCACUAGAUUUGGCUGCAAUGCAUCAACAAACCUUUAGAACUUGAAUAUGCAUUCAUAAAAAAUUCAAAACUGCAAUACAAUGGAACAUAACAAUCAAGCAAGUUAUCCAGGAAAACUAGAAGAGGUGGCCCAGCAGAUACUGUCCAAUACUAUUAUUCUAUUAACCUUCACCACAUGGUAAAAGAUAACUACGUCUACAUCAUUUCAAAAUUUAAGAAGAGCAGAGAAUGAACUUUCUAGGAAUGCUGCUCUUCCAACAUAUAAUACGGGCCAUUGCAGCUUUCCCAAAUAUUUCGACUGUAAACUUGUACAUAAUAGCCUUUACCCAGAGGAUAAAAAAAAAUUUGCCUGGUUAUCUUGUCAGGCAACAUAACUUGAAUGCCACUAGAGUCAUGCUGCACUGGCUCCUAAUGACCAGAUAAAACUUCCUUGAUUUUAAUUGAAAACCAUAAAUCAUAUAACAGCUUGGAGUGGGUUGCAUAGUAUAUUCCUUACAAAUUGCAGAUUCUGUACAUGACACUGUUUGUGAUAGGCCUUCCAUGUAAACCUAAUGACAGCUUAAUAUCUUGAUUUUAGGACAAAUUUAACCAAUAGACUCCCUUGAGAACUUGUAACCUGUCCCUCUUAAUUUUCAAAGAAAAACAGUAAAAAAAAGGCACACUAAUACUCUCUGUAAUGCAUACCUGAAUUAUCUAUACCACUUAAAAUGUCAGCUUUAACAGGAACUAAAUUUGAAGAAGUGUCCCCAUACAUAGAUUUCCAAUCCCGUCCUCUCCACAUCAAAAUUUGUUCAUCAUCAAAAGAUAAUAAAAUGCAAGGAACCAAUUCCUGCCAAAUAAGGAAGGACAGGCCACAAUUAUUAGGCAACCCAUAAAGAAAUUAGUAGAAUGACCAAAAAACAUAACAGAUAUCAUUCUGAACUCAUAUCUUGUCUGUACACUUCAUAUUCUGACAAGCACCAUAUGUUUUUAUAAUGUUGCAUUGGAGUAUAUUAGUUUCUUGUAUUUCAUAUGCUUUUAUAUAGGAUUGUUUUGGGCAUGUUUAAGUGUCUGUCAAUAAGUAGGAAGAUGUAUCAGAGUUGAAGACAACAUUAAGAAAAAGUUCUUGAUGGCAUUCAUACGGUUUUGCAUAAAAAUUAUUUAAUUCAAACUACUAAGUAAAAAUCUAGUCAUUUAUGAAAACUAGUCAUUUAAUUCAUGAAAAUAUAGUCAUUUAUCACAAGCUCAGAUCUCCUAAAACCAACUCAAGAUCCUUUGUUAUCUCACAUUUUUGCAUGAAACAAACGUUACGAAUUAAUAGUUCCUUAAAGUUUUUUGUAUUCUCCUGGUUUUGGUUAAUGAGUCUCAAACAAGUCUUCAAGAACGUCAAAACAAUUAGGCCUUAAAACAAAGACAAAUUAUAAAGCCCAUGAAAUAGCAAAAGAAUGCGACGAACCUUUAGCUUAGCACCUAUCUUCUUGUAGUCACUUGGUUGCAACCCUUUGCAGUCAAUCUUCACCAAAGGGCACUCUUCAAAAGCAUCUCUAACAUCUUUCACUAGGGAAGCAUACAUACCAUUUUUUGCUGCAACAUGAACAAAAAAGGUUACUACUUCUAAAGUAGGCAAAAGCAUAUGGUAAAAUCUCCCUAAAAACCAAGUAACAAAAGCAAACAAUUGCCAAAAAAUGCAAACCAUGCUCAACUAAUUGUUGUCUUACCUAAUGUACAUAUGGGUAGAAGAGACUUCCCUUUCUUCCGAAACUCAUCUGCUUCAGCUUUUGUCAAUCCUUCUGGAGCUUCUUGGAUAAGUUUUGGAUAGACUGGAGUAGCUGGUUUCCAAAGCAUCACUGGGUACUGUGGACGAGUACGAUAGUUGUAGUUUCGUCCCCGGAAAAGAUAAACAACACCACCAACUCGAUGAAUGAUUUUUCCUCCAGUUUUUUCCUGAUGUUAAGAAUAAACUUGAGAGAGAAGGAAAUAAGAGGUUUGUCUAUUUUCCUAAGUAAGACAUGUGACAUGUCCAUUCAAAUGCUAAAGGCAAUUUUAAUAUUACACUUAAAGCUAUGAUCAUACACACCUAUCUUAACAAACAUUGGAUGCCAACUUACUUCUAGAAGAACUUUAUUUGUUGGAGUGGAUAACAACUCUACGAUAGGAAACUAACUGGCCAACAGAACAUGUUUCUCCUUUUGCAGCACAAAUCAAUCAAAAUAUACUGAAUCUACAUUCUCAAAGGAGAAAGUGUGCGGAGUGCAUCCUCUAAAAUCACAGAAAGAGAUGUAAAUUCAAUUUCCAAACCACCUGAAUUCGACAUGUGAGUAAUGCAGCAGAAUAUUGAGUUUCUUAUUCCAUCAUUGUUAUCAAAAUAAAGACGACUAUCAUAUAAACACCCAAGGGCAAUGCUACACAGUUAACAAAAAUAGAAAUGGGAAACAUGGCUCUGCAGGGUUAUGUACAAUUCAAAUGAUUGAAAGCAAAAAAGAGCGUUAAAAGACAAUUACUUCAAUAUGACGACAAACAUUAUCCAUGUCCACGGUGGGAACUCCCUUGCACUUGAUUUUGCAAACACGACGUCGUUUCCAAUGAGUGUGUAUCAAAUCCAACAUGUUAUGCGUCAAUCCAUCCCUCCCUAAGUCCAAAAAGAAUACGAAUUAAUUAAAACACUAAACCCCAAAUCAAAAACACCUUCAUGACACGUCUACCAUUGUAAACUCACCGAGAUUAACCUGACGGUUAUCGGAUAAUAGUGGUUUAACCAGCAUCUUAAUCUCCCAUUUCUUCAACGGCUCUCCUAAUAUUUCCUCUCUCGUUUUCCCUUCCUUAGGAUAUUUCCCGAACGGAAAGGGGCCUGGCUUUUCCACGUGUUUCACGCCUUUUUUACCUGGGGGAGGAGGGUUAAACGAAUCGAAAAGCGGGAUAUUCUUCUUUGAUUUCUUCAACGGAGCCUUCCCUGUCCAUGGCCGCGGCAUCGUCGGUGGAGCAAAGGGCAAAUAAGCUGGCUCUCGAAUAGCUAUAGGCUCAGCGUUGGGCGUCUCGGAGUAACUGUACUGGAACUCGAAAGGAGCGCCGGGGAGCUUAUAGGAGACGCCGUUUUCGCCGACGAUGACGCAUCGAUCACCGUCGGUUGAGAUGACGCCCUUUUGGACGGGCUUGCGGUAAUUGGAGCGGCGGUGAGGGAUGGAGAGGGCGGGGUUUGAACGGGGAACGUUAGUUUUGGGAUUUCGACUACGGGGAGGAGGAUAUUUGGGGAUAGGGAUGGGAGGGGAUGGAGAAGGAGUGGAUGAAGUGGUGUCGUUUUGGGGUGGAUUUGAAGGGAGGGAAGAGAGGAGGUUGAGUCCUGGGAGUGAGGCUAGAAUGGGCAUUGAAAAUGAAAUGUUGAACUUAAGAUUGUUUCAGUUUGGAGUUCAAGAGAACGUAGUGAAGUGGAUAAUUUCUUCCGCCUCUUCGGUUUGAAGAAGAAGGCGAUGAGCGAGCCAUCCAACCAGAAGAUUGCACUAGAUAUUUUUUUCCCGCUGACAAAAUGAAAAACGACAGCGUUGUAGUGGCCAUCAACAAUCGAGAAUUCCACGUCGGAUUUAGUGGCACGUUUUGCUUUUCGCAACGCAUUGAAAAAUUGCACAUCAUAAUCUUGAACAGGUUUCAAAACAUAAAUAUUUUCUUCUGUUUGCUAAAUAAUGAGAUGUUAUAAUUUUGAACUUACCAUUAAAUAAAUAUUUAACAGAUAUAUGAAUUUGAAUAAUAAUUAAUGUUAUAUUUAUGUGUUCCAUCUUCUAUUCGCAAACUAGAGAGAAAAAAAAAACAUAAUUAUUGAAAAUUAAGGAAAGGACGAAUGUUUUAUGCUCGAUAAAUUGUUAAGAAUAAUGCAGAAGUAAUGAAAAUGUUUUACCCCAAUGAUUGGAAAUUUUUGGCUCGUACGAGGUAGUUUUUAAGUUGACUUUUAUAUAGAACUCUGUUUUAAUGAAAAUGAAAAUGAGAUUCAGGUUUAAAUGACUUCAUAAAUCAGCGUAUGUAUAUAAUUUUUGUCGUUUUUUUUCUCCGAUGCACUGUCAUGGUGUUUAUGUUGUAUUGCAAUAAAAAAACAUACAGAACUAGUUCUAUUUAAACCCUUCAACUUGUCUGCCUACAAAGUUCAGAGUUUAAAACCAUGGUCCUCGUUACACAAAAAACUGAGAAUCCUAAACAGGCACUCGCAUAACUGAAACGGAACAUUGCAGGUAAGCGCUACUUGUUUCCUCAACUGGUCUCUGAUUUCUCCAAUGCUGCAACAACAAAUAAGCAGUCACUGGAACACUGACACAUAAAGAUGCAGAUAAACAUGAAAAACUUAGGAGUCGAAGCAAAUCAAGGGCAGGGGAGGGAGAAGAGAGAGAUUACUGUUGUAGUUCAGAAGCUUCUCGAUUAGAUCGACAUGAGUCAUAAGCAUUCUCCUACAGCAAUAUCGAACCAAGCCCAAAGCAUCAAGAGCAUCGCUGCAUGCCAAACAGAAGAAAAUUUUAUUCUCUGCAAAUCAAAGGAAUACUUCGGUUCAUAGAUCAACAGUAAUAAUUAAAUAGGAUUAUAGUUCAUAUCAACUUGCAACAUAAAAUUUACCAAAUACAUGUUCAUUGCUUUGAUACAUUUCCGAUAAUCUAUACCAUUGCCAGAGGUUAUACUUUUGUACUCAAAGGAACAGUGACAGCAUGCAAAACAUGGUUUCCGCAAUCAGGAAAACUCCACAAUAAGUUCAACUUUCAGAGGACAAAACUCACAAAGACUCUUGAAGUUUCAAUGUUUACAUUUAGACUUGCAUUUUUCGUAAUGAGUUGCUUACCGUCAUAUAUUGAUGUUCAAUUCCGCAAAUGGCACUAGUUCAAAUAAAUCAACGGGGAUGCAUAACUUAACCAUGUGAAUGAGGAAAUAAUAAGAUUUUCAGAGGGUCAAAGAUAAUUAGCUAAGAUAAUUUUAAAGUAAAAAUAAAAAAGGCAAUUCAAACCCUGUACCCCCAUCCUCAAUAUUGUAUAAAAAUAAUAUUUUUAAAGCUCUUGUCAGACACCCAUUAGACACGGGUAAGUUCAAAUCCUGUCACUUCCAUUCCCCAACCCCAAUAUUAUAUAAAAAUAAAAAUAAAAAGACAAUUUGGAUAUAAUUUGCAUUUAGCUAAAGCAUUUCUUGCCUUACAAAUAUAUCCCUCCAACUCCAGAACUUUCACCUUCUCUCUACCAAUCAAGCAAGCCAUUUCCUCCCUUGAAUUUUCAUACAAUGUUGAAUCUCCAAGGACUAUUUCAAGCAUCUCCGUUUAAGUGACUACAAUCUUGCUUCAAAAUGUUUCUAAUUGUGAAUGUUUUGCACCACAUAAAUCACUAAAACAGCCAAUCAACCAAAAUACAAAACAGAGGAAAAACAAAAAGAAUUACCAAAAAGGAGAGUCUAGUACUAGCAACAUUUAUGCAAGAACUUGUGGUGAUACAGAGCUUCUUUAUCACAUUUACCUAGACUUCCAAUGCCUUUCAAGGUAGAUAGGGCACCAUAUGCCCAUGUUUAUUCCAGCCUUAUCAGUUGGCAUAACCAGGUACAAUGUGGAAAACAAAAAAAAGCUAAGGUUAACAGUCAAAAGUAAACUUGGAGAAGGGUUUUCAGUUGAAAGCUCAAAGGCUACUCUCUACCACAUGAAUCUUUCGAGUACAAAAAAGUAACUUGUAAUUGAGAAUUCAUGAUUAGAGUUUUCACCAUUUGUUCGCUAUUUUUCCUAGACUGAUUUGUAUAAGGUGGAAAGUUGGUACUCAUACAGGCAAAGGCUUUUUGCCUAUUUCACCAAAAAUAUUAUCGAUUUCCAUUAUAAAUAAAAUGAACAUCAAUACAUCACAUUGUACACGACUGAAGGUUUGAGGAACCAAUUCCUAACUACGAAAGCAGGAAUGUAUCUGUAUUUUGUGGUUAAGGAGAUACAGAAUAUUCCUAAAAAAUUCAAUUGCCCAAAAAAGAAAAAAUAUUUUUGGUUGAUACAAUGUCUAGACAACCCAUAAUCCCCCAAACCCCAAAGUGGACCCAAAUAAGAUUCCUUAAGUGCUCUUAAAAGAUAUCCAUCAAUCAAACACACCAGUUUCGGGCGAUUUACACUGAAAACAGAAUAUUCAUGGCAACGAUGCAGUCACUUAAUUGCUUCAGAACUAUUAAAUAAGAGAUAGAUUGAUGCAAACCCUUCAGUAUAGUCGGCCUGGAGAAGAUCAAGGUAGGUGUCCCAUUUGUUACCAAUAACCUGCAGAUACGGAAUCCAAAUAUACUAGUUGAGAAACAGAUUCACCAAAGCCCUAAACCCACUUGAGAAGUACGAAAAAUACCUUCCCGCAUGUGAAGCAACGGACUGGGAUUAUCAUCCUGCUCGGCUAAUACGUCUUUUUCUUCUUCGUCUUGUUUUAAAGAUUUGCCCUAGCUAGUUACACCCACUGCUCCCUUUUUCGCUUUGCGCGCUCUCGUCUUCAGCCCUACAUGGCUUUAAGUACGGGGGUUUGCAGUUUUCACGAAAAUACCCUUGUUCUAAAUUUGACUUGUCCAAAAGUGCCUGAUAUUAUUCCAACUCAAAAAGUUCGGUUUAAUAUUAAAAAAGGAAAGAAUAAGUUUGCUUUUAAUUUGUUGACUUAAAUUUUUAUUUUUAUUUUUAGACAUAUUUUUUUAAUAAGUUUAUAUUUUUAAAAAAAAUUAUAAGAGUUUUAAGUUAUUGUUAUUUAUAUUAUUAAUAAAAUCUUUGAUUAAAUUGGUGCCACAUGUCAAUUGGGCACUAAUUAAAUAAGGAAAUUACAAAAAUUAAAAAAUAAAUAAAAAUAUGCAUUUGGUGGAAUUUUAACCCAUGUCAAUUACACUAAAAAAAUUAUAAAUUCACCAUUUAACCAAAAAUUUAUUUUAAUUAAGUUAUACAUUUUAAUUUUGUUAUGUAAAAUUUAUUUUGAUUAAUUUAUACAUUCUAACUUUUAUGUUCUAAAAUUGUAAUUUCUAUUAUUUAUUAUUUAUAAUAUAUUAUUUUUAAACAUAUAUCUAGAUUUUAAAUUUUUAUUUUUCACACCCAUAUAUGUGUGAUAAGAUUUCUAAUUAUUAUUGCUAUAAAUAGAAGAAAGAAAAUAUACACAUGAAUAUCUUAAUAUAAUGGGCUUGUGGGCCUAAUGGCUCGGCCCACUGGCCAUCAAAUGGGCUCAUCCAAAAAGACAGGAAAAUAUUAGGACUUGAAUUAAACCAAUAAUUAACCGCCACUUGGUAAACAAUAACACGUUGGUCGGUUGUGAAACACGAAAAAGAAAAGUUGACUAAAGUGAUGACUUCUUCACAGAAAAAACCACUGUUCUAUGCUGUGUCUCCAUCCUAAUUUAAUUCCACUUCUAAUCUUAGGAAUUCGGAGAAAUCAAAGAUGGUGGCAAUUGCGUAAUACAUUCUUGUAUUUGAAGCCGCCGAUUAAACCGAAGCUCGUGACACUUUCAUUCAAAUGAAUAUUUGUCGCUGAGACAAAACCCUCUUUCUAUUACCAGGUAAAAAUUUUAUGUUCGAUUGCUUUCAACUUCUGCAUUUUUUUUUGAUGAUGGAGAGAAAAAAAAAACCCAUUUCUUGAUAAUCUAUUCCGGGGUUUUCGUGAUUGUUUUUGUUAUGUUGCUUUUCAAAUGGACAUGCUUUUGUUAACUCAAUCCGGUCUUGGUUUUUGCUUUGUAAGGAAAAUUUUGUCUCCUUCUGUUUUUUAUUCAUAUUGUGAUAAAGAACAAGAAUAUUUCUGCUCCUUUCGAACUCCUGAUUUGAAUUGAACAUUCUUUCAAGUGAGCUACCCACCAAAGAUUUGAUUACUUUCUCUUAACUGGAUUUGGAUCCAAUUAUGUCUUUGAUUCUGUUUGUCCAAAGGUUUAGUGGUUCUUGUUGCAUACUUUAGGACCGUAUUCAUCUUAUAAUAUGUAGUGGUUUUGAUUCUAUUUUGCUAUCUGAUUGUGCUGGUUUAUUUGCUUGCGCUUGUUAUUUCAUAAUCGUAGGUUGAAAUAGACAGGCGUUACUAAUAGUGUCCACCGAAAAUUGGGAAUUGCAUCAGUGUCCAAGACAUGGGAUCUCAAGAACCAAAGGCUGUAACUAUUAAUGUAACCGGAUUUAAGAAGUUUCAAGGGAUUGCUCAUAAUCCCACAGAAACUAUAGUUAAUAACCUCAAGAAUUUCGUUGAAAGCAAAGGGUUGCUGCCUGCUGGUGUUACAUUAAGGAGUUGCACUGUCCUUGAGACUGCUGGCAAUGGUGCUCUUCCCGUGCUUCUCAAGGUCUUGGAAUCUGGCAUCUCAGGGAUUGACACCAAAAACGAACUUGUUAUAUGGGUCAGUUCCUAUUAUUCAGCUUUAUUCAUGUCUUGAAAUGUACUCCUGUCUUGUAACAUGCCCGUUGAUCUAAUAGACCUCAAUUUUAUUGUGUCUUUAGCUUCACUUGGGGGUUGAUGGCGGAGCACAAAAAUUUACCCUCGAACAGCAGGCUGUAAAUGAAGCUUCUUUCUUUUGUCCUGAUGAACUAGGAUGGCAACCAAUGGUGGGUUAUGGAUGCUCUUCUGUCAAUCUUAACAAAUGUUUCUCUGUUACCCUAUUAAUAUCUAUAUCCUUGUGUUUAUUGUUUCCCUUUGAUGUCUGCAGCGACAGCCCAUUGUUACCGACGAUGGGGGAAUCUCCCGGAAACGACAGGUACUUUCUGAUCUGUCUGUACAUGUUAUUUAGAGUGCCUUUUACGAACCAUUAAUCAAAGAAACCUAAGUCGUGCCUACUGUCACCUGGUAGUACUUAUUGAGCAUCUUUAUUUAGUUGCAAUUACAGCUGAAAUAUUUAACACCAUUGAGGCUUUAUCUUUUUCAAAUAUUAGAUAUCAGCUGUUUCCUGUCUUCCCUUUUUGGAUACUGUGUUUAACAUAGUGAAUCUUUUGGUUCUUGCAGACGACUUGUUCCAUUGAAGCAAUCCUCAGGUUCUUAAAGAACAAGGGCUAUGCUGCGACGACAUCCAAUGAUGCCGGCCUUUUUAUAUGCAAUUAUGUAUACUAUCACUCUCUCCGGUUCGCCGAACAGAAGGGUCAUAAAUCUCUAUUUGUUCAUGUUCCCCUCUUCUCAACAAUCAACGAAGAGACACAGAUGCAAUUCGUCGCUUCUCUUUUGGAGGCCAUUGCAUCGACCUGCUAAACAUUAAAUGAUUCAAAUGAUAUAUAAUUAUGCUUUAUAUUUAUGCACGUAAUUCUCUGAUAUCACAAACUAUAAAAAAUGAUGGGACUUGGGAGCUUUCCCUUUGCCUCCCCACCACCCUUUCUCUCCACCAUUGCUCUUGCUUCACCUUUGUGUUUCUUGUGUGAACUGUAUUUGUUUAAGUGGGUUUUAUGCAAUGAAAUUAGCUGCAUUUGAACCUUGAAAUUUUGGAAAAGUAUGACAAGUUAUAAUGGGCAAGUUGCCAUUUUCUUGUUGACUGCGGUUAUUGGGUCGGUCGUGUGAUGUGAAUGUGGUUUUGAGACGUUUACUGCAAGCAAAGUACAAAGCCCUCGCGUUUAUUUAUCACUAUCAACCAGAUCUCAAGGUAAAGCUGCAAUCCAAUCCAUAUAUUGCAUUCAAAGUGAAAAAUGGAGUUUACGUUAUCUCAUAUCCAAGAAUGUUGGUUCAACUUUUCGGGAUCUACCAUGAUAGAAAAUUCCAAAUCAAAUAUUUUGUUUUUAUCUCGAUAUAUUUACUAGAAAGACUCAGUAUUAAUAAAAUUUGAAGUAAUAUUGUUUAAAUUGAACUGAUCAGUACAAGAGGAAGAAUUAAGAAUUGUUCAGAGCACCAUUUCCAUUAGAAAAAUUACAUCAAUAUAAUCUGAUUGAAUCAAGUUAAAAAUAAAUUGAAUUCAUAGAACAGAACAGAUUAAAAAUCGAUAAUCUAAUCAGUUACACCAUCAUAAAAACCUUAAUUUGAAUAUCAAGUUCAGUCGGUAAAAAAUAGCCCGGCCCGCCGGGAUGCAUCUUCCAUAGAUUCUUAUUUCUGUUGAUAGCUACUAAAUUGUGUGUAGAUGGCAACAUGAUCAGAAUGUUGCACGAUCGAUGAGGCUAAGUGGAUUUUUGUCGUUGAUACGUACGUUGCCAAUCUUGGCACAAUCGAAUUACAGGGCCUUUACAUCAUACCGUAAUAUAAACGCUGAUCUGGGUGUUUACUACAAAAACAAAACAAUUAAUGAAUUAAUCAGAUCCAGGCGUCUCGACGAUGCCCAGAACCUUUUCGAUCAAAUGUCUAUAAGAGAUAGCAUUACAUAUAAUUUGCUAAUUACUGGGCACGGUCGAUAUGGGAAUCCAAAGCAAGCACUGUAUAUUUAUAAGGAAAUGGUUUCACAGGAAAUCCAAGAAACUGGUCCUACAUUUUCGUCUGUGAUUACUGUUUGUGCGAAUGAGGGGUUUUAUAGAGAAGGUAUUCAAGUUCAUUGCAGGGUGAUUUCACUUGGGUUUGGAUUGAAUUUGUUUAUUGGGAGCUCACUUGUUAACCUAUAUUUUCAUAUGGGACUUGUUGAUGUCGCUUGGAAGUUGUUCGAUCAAUUGCCUGAACGGAAUUUAGCCGUAUGGAAUUUGCUGUUAAACGGGUUUUUGGAGCUUGGUAAAAUAGAGGAAUUAUUUGGGUUGCACGACCAAAUGAAAUGGGAGGGUGUCAAUCCAAAUGGACUUAGUUUUUGUUAUUUAAUUCGUGCUUGCUGUAAUGCGAGGUUUCUGGACGAAGGAAUGCAGCUGCAUUGUCAUGCGAUUAAAGCUGGAUGGGUGGAAUGCAAUGUUUUUGUUGCCAAUGCUUUGGUGGACUUUUAUUCUGCUUGUGGGAAUUUCAUUGAUGCUAGGAAAGCGUUUUUGUUAAUUCCUGUUGAAGAUGUGAUAUCAUGGAAUUCCAUCAUUUCUGUAUAUGCGGAGAAUGAUUUGUUGUAUGAUGCUAUUGAAUUACUUAGUAGGAUGCAUUUCUGGGAUAAAAAACCUUCAAUUCGUUCCAUUGUGGGGCUCUUGAAUUUAUCCAGUAGAAGAGAGGAUAUUCUGUUAGGGAGGCAAAUUCACUGUUUUAUAACAAAAGUAGGGUUUGAUUUAGGGAGUGUUCAUAUUCAGUCAGCGUUAAUUGAUAUGUAUGGAAAAUGUGGUGAAAUUGAAAGCUCUCUGUCUGUAUAUGAGAGGGCAUCUAAGAGAACUUUGGAGUGUUGUAACUCAUUAAUAACCUCCUUUUUGCACUGUGGUAUCACUGGUGACGUGUUUGAGAUUUUUGUUUUGAUGAUUGAUGAAGGAAUUAGGAUUGAUGAGGUUACUCUUUCUACGACACUAAAAGCAUUAUCACUGUCUACUUGGGCUAGUUUGGACAGCUGCAGACUGUUGCACUGCUGUGCUAUAAAAUCCGGUUAUGAAUCUGAUGUCGCAGUUUCAUGUUCUCUUAUUGAUUUGUAUUCAGGAUGUGGGCAUUUUGAACUCUCCCGCAAGGUUUUUGAAACCCUUCCUCUACCAAACAUCUUCUGCUUUGCAUCUAUAAUCAAUGGAUAUGCCCGAAAUGCUAUGGGCAAUGAAAGUGUCAGCCUGUUGGAAGCAAUGAUCCACAAAGGCCUAGUACCUGAUAAGGUGACAUUCUUAUGUGUUCUAAAUGGUUGCAACCAUGCAGGAUUACUUGAAGAAGGAAAGUUUGUGUUUAACUUGAUGAAAUCUUAUGGCAUUUGCCCAGAACGACAACAUUUUUCGUGUAUGGUAGAUCUUUUAGGCCGUGCAGGUCUAGUGUAUGAAGCUGAGGAGUUGCUGCAACAGUCACCAGGAGGGGGUGAUUCUGUAAUGUGGAGCUCAUUGCUGCGAAGUUGUAGGGUCCACAAGAAUGAAAUAGUGGGUAAAAGAGCAGCAAAAGUCUUGAUGGAGCUUGGUCAGGAUAGUUUUGCCAUUUAUUUGCAAGUGUCAAAUUUUUAUUCUGAAGUUGGGGAAUUUAAAGCCUCAUUACAAAUCAGAGAACUUGCCAUGGCUAGAAAGGUGAUGAGGGAGAUUGGUCACAGUUCAAUUGAGGUGAAGACUUACAGUUAACAUACUUUUCUUAUACUGCUAAAAUUUACCUCGCAUUGUCAUCCAGCUGGGAACUUUGGAACAGUGCUUGCUAGUCUGUUCCAGCAUUAUUUCCAUGAAAGUAAAACCUGUUUGUGAAAUCUUCAUCUUCUACUUAAAUCUUCUAAAGAUCUGUUGCUUUAGCUUGAAGCCUUGGCUUGUAACUGGAAAAGGACCCCUUUCCCUCCUGAUUCGCUAAUUCAAGUUUCUUUUUAAGGUACUGAUUGCCCCACAGAAUAUCCAUGCAUGCAUGCAUGGUGUUUUUUUUUUUUUUUCAUUUCUCAAUUUAUAAAAUAUGGUUCACUAAAUAAUAUAAAAUAAUACACUUUGUUGAUUCAUUUAUCCACUUCCCUGAGAAAUAUAGUGAGAGGGAUUUUACAUAAUCCAUUAACAUUUUGAUUGGUGAAAUGUUGCCUACUGGUUGAAGAGUAAAGCAAACAACUUAAAAAUAAAUUUACCCUUGUACUUCAAGUGUGGGCAUGUAGAAAAUGUAGCACCUUCAUCUACUUUUAAGCCAAGCCAUAUAGCCCACAAAGCUGCUCUUUUCCAAAACUAAUCUGCAUAUAUAAAUUAAACCAGUGCCUUAUUGGAUUUAUGCAACUCAAUCAAUCUUCCAAAUAGACAAAAAAGAACAAAUCAUGGAUAAAUUAUUCCUAGUUUCCUUCCUCGGUUUGCUGAUCACACAUGCAGUUGGCGGAAACAUGUUAUACGACAAAUUCAACAUACUUGGAGAGCUUGAAGACCUCGACAUAGCUGAAGAAGAUAUGGAACUCUUUGAGGGCCCAUCUUGGAUAAGUGAACGCGGUGGCAAGGUUCUUGUAAAUGUGGAUAGCUUUGGUGCGGUUGGGGAUGGAGUUUCUGAUGACACUGAGGUAUAUGCUUGAGAAUUUCUUUUGAGUCCCUUGCAAAUUACCUUGAUGGUUAUUUUAGGAAACAUUGAAAUUACAAGUUUUACUGAUAAAGAUUGCUAGGCAGUAAUUGGCAUUCUUGGUUUCUAUGGGUGUUUGAGACAUGACCCUUCUCAAGGAUUAGGCAAAUAGUUUUCUCUGAAUAUCAUUUUUUUACUAACUUAUGCCUUUGAUCUGAUCUGGGAAUUUAAACAUUUUGUGUAUUACUGUUUGGCCAAAUAUAUUUUCAUUGUCAUCAAAAUAAGCUAAUUUCUAAUUUGAUAGAUUGGCAUUUUGUCUUUCUGCAAUAUUUUAUCAUAGGCAUUUAGAAAAGCAUGGAACACAUCGUGCUCUACUUCAAAAUCAGUUCUCUUGGUUCCUCCUGGACGCCGAUAUUUAGUUAAUGCUACGAGGUUUAAGGGGCCAUGUGAAGAGAGGUUGGUUGUUCAGGUAAUAUCUAUGUACAUCAAAUUGAACUUAAAGAUAUAACAUCUCCAUUAUCUUAUAUCUAUGUUACAGAUUAAAUUAUUGCCAAUAUUGAUUCUAUGUUGAUAUCAAUUUUAACUUUAGUUGCUGUAGUUUUUUCUGUUUGUUAUCAUAUUAAUCAUUAUUGUUAUUAUUCAGAUUGAUGGAACAAUAGUAGCACCGGAUGAACCUAAUGACUGGGACGCAAAUCUUCCACGAAACUGGCUUGUUUUUUCUAAGCUGGAGGGAGUAGUUUUCCAAGGAAAUGGAGUUAUUGAUGGCUCUGGCAGCAAAUGGUGGGCAUCUUCUUGCAAAAAGAACAAGUCAAAUGUAAUUCCUUUGGAUUCUCUUUAAAAAUUCUUUCAUGCUCAAUUUACAAAUCAAACAAAUAGAAUAUUAACAUAUUUUUUCGUCUGUUUGCUUUUCCUUUGGCAGCCGUGCAGAGGGGCACCAACAGUAAGGACCUUUCUCCACAAUUAAUAAAUCAAUUAUGCUAAGCGAUGCUUCCAAUAAGCAGCAUGCCGAAAUUGUGCAAGUGAACUAUCAAAUGGAUCUCAAAUUAGAUUUAACAUAUGAGUUUGUUGCAGGCACUGACUAUUGAUUCAAGCUCAUCUAUUAAGGUAAAGGGUCUUACCAUUCAGAACAGCCAACAGAUGAAUUUCGUCAUUUCCAGGUGUGAAUCUGUUCGAGUAUCUGAAGUUCAAGUCUCCUGCCCAGGAGACAGUCCGAACACUGAUGGGAUCCACAUCACUGGGUCAACUAACGUCGUUCUUCAAGACAGCAAAAUAGGGACAGGUUCUUAAUCCUUGUCUUUUGUCCUUCCAUGCACCUGUUUUAUUGUGAAAGGAUACCUUUUAGAAAUUAUAUCACCAACAAUUAUAUAUGUGCAUACUGACUCGUUAAUUAUGGUGACCAUGCAUAUGAAAUUCAGGAGAUGAUUGCAUCUCAAUUGUUAAUGCUUCAUCUGGUAUCAAGAUGAAGAGAAUAUAUUGUGGACCAGGACAUGGAGUAAGGUGUGUUCUAGACUUCCAGUUAGAGCCUAUAAACAGCUGAUUGUGUCCUCAUCUACUUAGGAUACAGUGUAAAGUGAUUCUUAUAUCUUUUACUUCUUUGAUUUAAUUUGCUUCUUAGCAUUGGGAGCCUUGGGAAGGAUAACUCAACUGCCGUUGUCACAAAGGUGGUCUUGGAUACAGCACUCCUCAGGGAGACUACAAAUGGUGUCAGGAUUAAAACUUGGCAGGUAUUUUGAUGACAUAUAUAUUCUGAAUCUAGCACCAUGUAUUGAUAAGAAUAUGCAUUUAGUCAGUAUCAGGAAAGUAGAAAGUAAAAAGACUAUAAAGGGGCUUCAGUCGUCAAUACGUCAAUACCUUAAAAUAUCAAUAUUAUAGCACACUUAACAAUUAGAUGCUCUUUCUGAGUAAGAUAUGAAGCCUGAUAUUUUCUUCUUUGGGGAGGAAGCGGGAAAUGAGUGCCAUGGUGGGUUCAAUACAUGACUUUCUUUUCCCUGAAUAUGUUAAACACACAAUUUGACUUCAUCCCCCCCCCCCUUUUUUUCUCUCUCUCUAAAAGUUUUAAUACACAAUUAGUAUGUUCUUGUGGUUCUCUUAUAAAGGGUGGUUCCGGUUAUGUCCGUGGGGUGCGUUUUGAAAAUGUAAGGAUGGAAGAUGUUGCCAACCCCAUCAUUAUCGAUCAGUUCUACUGUGAUUCGCCGAAAACCUGCCAAAACCAGGUGCAUUAUCCAAAUUCUUGCCUGUCAUAUCUAAAUUUCUCAGUGUCUUUAGAUCAAAUUUGCAUCCUGAAUCUUGCAGGAGGUUCUCAGCCAAUGUGAACACUGAUCACAUGAUUCUUGUUCUUGUUUCUUGUUUUUUAGACAUCAGCGGUGCAAAUAAGCCAGAUUAUGUACAGAAACAUUAGCGGGACAACAAAAAGCAAGGAAGCAAUGAAGUUCGCCUGCAGUGAUACGACUCCCUGUAGCAAUAUAGUCCUCAGCAAUAUAAACUUAGAGAAGAAGGAUGGCACCGCAGAGACCUACUGCAACUCUGCUCAAGGCUUUGGCUACGGGAUCGUUCAUCCGUCAGCGGACUGUCUAAGUUCCAAUGACAAAGGCUAUAUUCUCAUUGAUCAUAAAGAAAAUUCUGAGCUUGCUGAACCGAGCAGAGAUCAUAUUGUUCACACCGAACUCUAAGCAACCCGUAAGGCAUAUCAAUAACACUGUUAUAGUAUAUCACUAUACAAGUAACUUAAAUAGAGCAGCAAGAGGCCCGAUAGAAGGUUUGAGGCACAUGUUAAAAUUUUUAUGGGAAAUUGCGGAUGUAAUUGAUGUUGUGCUCAAAUUGCAUUGAAACUAAUCCACACAUUAGCAAGGAUAUGUAAAAUGCGGCUUGUAUACAUUGCAGAAGAAACUCAAUUUAAUAAAAUUAUGUACUGAAGUUUUAGUUUUAUUUUUUUACGACUUUAUCCGACUUUCUGCAACAUGACACAAUUAUAUAACAAGAAGGCAUAUGGAAAAAUAAUUAAAACAUGACAUGAAAUAUGAUAAGAAAAAAUAACACAAACACAAUAUGAAUAUAUAAAUGUCUCUUAAUCUAUAUAUACAAAUUACUAAAGAAUUAAUGUUUAUAGAAGUAUAAAAUAUUAAAAAUAUACAAACAUAGCAUGAAUACAUGAAUUAUCAAUGAAAAAUAGAAUCCUUUCAAAAGAAGAAAUUUUGUAACUCCUUUUGACUUGUGUUACUUGGACUCGGAAUAUUCUUUUUUUUAAAUGUAUAUUUACAUAUCCAAAAAUAAUCCUUGCCACCACAUAAAACAAAGCUGCUAAGAUCAAUAUCCUACUCUUUGUUUUUGUCCAGAAUUUCAAUUUUUUUUCAGGUUUCUCAUCCCCUCUUAGACCUUUGGUAAAGGGUAUAUAAUAAUAUAUAAUAUAUACGUGACCUUAAAACUCAACCCAUUCGACUAUAUUAUGUGUUCGAUAUAUAUGCAUGUUUGGAUGUGGGAAAAUACACCAGAAAACAUGUGGCUCUUAAGAGAUCGAUCUAAGUGCUUGAAAUAGCUGAAACUGCAAAGACAAACAAGGACCACUGACCUCCAGAUCGACAAAUUUUCAACAAAAAAAGAACACAUAUAUAUUAUAUUAUUCUUUUAGGUGAUGAAUUAAAUACAGGCAUAAACAGAAAAAGGAAGGAAAAAAAAAU